UUUUCCAAAAAACCCGUCCACCACAAUUGGAAAACUCUCAAGACCGUGACAAUGUGAAAAGUCAAGAGUUUCUAGUGAAUCCAACUUGAGAGGUGGAAUACUCCUGAGAUUGCGACAACUACUAACAUUCAGGGUUUUAAGUUUUCCAAAAAACCCGUCCUCCACAAUUGGAAAUCUCUCAAGACUAUGACAAACUUUUAGCAAUUGAAAGACACCUAAAUGUUGAAAAUUGGGGAUUAAUAUAGUAAAUAAACCAUAAUAGGCGUUGCUCAAUAGACUCUUCAAAAUUAUUCAUUUUUUUAAUAAAGGUUCAAAUUUUACACACAAAAACAAUCGAUCAAAAGUUAUGAUUGAAGCGGAGGCUAAAUUAAAGGGUCUAUUGAGCAACUAUAUGCAAUGAUAAGAGUCAUAUGCCUGUUGCCUGUUGGUUCCCGCAUUAAUAGUAGUCGUGUGACUGUCAUUACUUCCUACCUUCCUUAUUUGGAGCAUUUGAAGUUUUCAACCAUAAGUUGAAAAUAACUCAAUCAACAUUGGCCUCACCAGAAUUGGAAUUAGCAUUAAUAUUCAUCAAUACUCCUUCCGUUUUAAAAUGAGUGUCGCUUUAGUCAAUUGCACACGUAUUAAGGAAUGGAAUCAAGUAGUCAAAUGUUAUGGUAAUUUUACAUAAUUAUCCUAAUCAACUAUUAGUUUGUUUUUUAUUAAAGAAAAAAUAAUACUUUGAAAGUAGUGUAACAUAGUAUUAAUUGAAGGGUACAAUUGAAAAGAAAAAGUUAUUAUUGCAUUGGAAACGGAAAAUGACAUUCAUUUUGAAUUUUUUUUUUUGUUGCUAAAACGACACUUAUUUUAAAACGGAGGAAGUAUUAUUUAAGGGUCUUCCUACCUUGCUUAAAGGUCUUAUCCGUGUUACUCUUUAAACUUUAAACCAUUUUUUUUUACAAUAACUUUUAGAAAGAAAGGAGAGUGAAUUCAAUAUUUUUCACCACUUUUCAACACGUUAUUUUUAUUUUUGUACUCUAAAAAAUAAUAUAGUUAGGUAACUCGCAAUAUUAUGCACGCACACUCCCAGGAAAAUCAAAAUAAUUAUACUCAUACAUUCAUUUUAUAUUAAUCGUAGUGAAUACACCAAUACUUAAUAAUGUAGUUUUAUUUGUACAAAUAAACAACGUUAAUUUAAUAAAAUGACUAUCCCUUUUUUCCUUUAUAUCAUUCAUUAAUCUGUGUGAAAUAGUUGUUCGUGAGACAGAAUAUUACCAAAAAAGAAACUGAAACCGAGAUAGAGAAUACAGUAUGGGAAACUAAAAAGCUUAAGAACAACAAUUUAUAAAACCAGUUCUUACAAUCCCUUGUGUGCCAGCCAAGAUAUUCACUAUAGCCGGUUGUUGUAACUAAAACAAUAAGUCCAAAAGCCAAGGAUUUUGGCCACCAAUAACGCCAAGGGAGUAAGUGCAAAAAUCCAAUCAACAAUUACCAAGUAAUGCAGAGCAACAAUUUAUAUCAUUCAACAAAAGCCUUUCACUCAUCUCCUUUGUUCACAUUGUUGAGAAGCCUCAAUCGAACUGAGUCCAAAUCUGACACAUUCUUGACACUGCAAAUAUAACAGGUUUUAUAAACUACAAGCAUUAGUAACCAAUAACAUCAAAAGUUCUGCUAUUGCAACAAACUGCUAAGUUCUAUUAUUCCAUUACAUCCAUGAUAUAUGUAAUCGUCUUUUUUAAUAGCCCAAACAAGGCUGAAAUUUCAUGUUAAGUCAGACUCAAAUUUUCACAUCUCUAAAGGAACAAAGGUUUCAUCAGUGAAAAAAAGAAAGAGACCCACCGUACAUAGUGUCUCCAGAAGAAACCACCUUCUUGCAAAGCCAGUCCGGCACAAUCUUUUCCAAGAUCUCAAUCUGCUCUUCAGCUUCUCCUAUUAGGAGGACAAGAUUAGUUAGCUAGAUUCUUUAUUACUAAGAAAUCGUGUACAUUAUAAUGAAUAGAAUUAGAACAUACUAAUCUCAACAAAAUCUAAACAGUUCAUCAUUAUCUUUUGCAAGAGCUACUCUUUUGUGAUUGAAGUUCUUUUGACAGAGCCAAAUAUAGAGUCAAUAACAUUAACCAGUUCCACCAAUGAUGAAGGAUUGUUAUCCAAUGCAUUAAAAGAAUGUUGAUCUACAUUGAUUUUCUGAAAAGAAUGACCAAGGUUCUCAUCUACCUGCAUCAAGAAACCAAUUAACAAGAAAUCGAUUACUUUCACGAGAAAAAAAUUGCUUUAACAAUAAAAAAAAAUUAAGGAAAAUAAUGUUGAUCAAAUGCGAAGUGUGGAAGUAAGGGAUAUUAGAUAUCAAUAAUAUGCUUAAGUAUGAACAGUUAUAAACACAGAGCACAGGCAUACUUCUGAACAAUGAAUAAACAAGAGAUUUGAAUGGUGCAAGAACAUGGGAGAAUAGUAAGAAAAUACAAAAUGAAUGAAGUGCAGUUAGUAUAUCCCUUUAUUAUCGUCAAUCUAGAAAGAAAGGAUUAUUCUAAGGAAUCGACUAAACUAUGAUAUUAUAAGUAUGUUAUAAAUAAAAACGUUACCGUUUUUGUAUACCCAUCCUCGAUGUUUUACUCUCAAUCUUCGACUUGUUUCUCACCCAAUAUGUUCAUUAUCUCUAAAGCUCCUCUCUAGAAUUUAACAUGAACUACUAAAUGUCAGGAAAAUAAAUUGCUUCCUUUGCAAGCUCUCCGGCAAGGAUAAAUUGAAAGGUACAAAAUAGAAUAAUAAGUGAAUAUCAAAGUAUGAUUUUAGGGAUAAAUCGAAAAUUAAAACCAAAACUAGAUAGAAGGCGCAUACCUCCAGAGGUGGGGAAACAGAAUAAAAAGAUUUGAAGUUCUCGGAAUAUCCUCGGCUAGGUAUAGACAUGUAUACUCUAUUAUCCAAAUCAUCACUGCCUUCUGUGAGUGUAAAGUCAAGCACUCUUUUUGCAGGCUUAAAACACGACCCAGACUUUUGGGCAGUCAUUUUCUGAAGCUUAACAUCAGAACCGAGCAACAAUCUCUCAAGUGCUGACUGUGCAGGAGUGUGUGUCAACAAUCAGACAAUGGUGGACAUUCUUUCUGCCAUGUGCUUUCACUUUCUUUGUUAUCCAGCCAGUCAGAUUCUUGCUCAGUCUCGUUAGCAACAUUCUUCUGAGAAAAGUGUCUUUUAAAAGAUGGACUCAGAUGUAAGUUGUUCAGUGACAGUUCGAUUUCAUUGGAAGUUGAUGAAAGUUCAGUUGACAAAUUUACAGGUCCAUCUUUGAAAAUCAAGUUAUAAGGUCUUUGGCUAAAGAGCUCUGAUAGUGUGGCCUCUGGAAUAUCAGUCCCCUGAUAUCCACAACAAAAAGCAAACACAAAAUUAAAAUUAAAAUCAAAAUUAAGGUGAUGAAAUCAAUUCUUCUGCAUACUUCUAAGAACAAAAAUAAAUAUAGUCGAUCUUUUAAGAGAUGGAGACAAAUGUAAGUUGUUCAGCGACAGUUCAAUUUAAUUGGAAGUUGAUGAAAGUUCUUUUGACAAAUUGACAGUUCCAUCUUUGAAAAUCAAGUCAUAAGGUCUUUGCAAAAAGGGCUCUGGUAGUGUGGCCUCUGGAAUAUCAGUCCUCUUAUAUCCACAAUAAAAUGCAAAAGAAAAAUUAAAGUGAUGAAAUCGAUUCUUUUACAUACUUCUAAGAACAAAAAUAAAUAUCGCGGAACCAGAACCAAAGAAAAGCAGUUGUCAAAAGAUAAGCAUAACCAGUAGCAAAAAAAUCUCAUAAAUCAUAAUCAUCAUUACAUUUAAAACCAAGUAUAACAUGCUUAUGUAAUCAUCAAUGAUCCAAUAUAUUUUCAACAAAUAUCAUACAACACCUUAUUAUUAUGAUUAAUACAUUUUCAACUAGUUAUAACAAGCUUCCAUCUACCUACCAUAUGGAAUCACAAAUCACAACACAGAGUACUAUGCAGAGAAUGAAAAUCUAAAUGUCACGACAGUAGUACAGAUUAAAGAAAGGGAAAUGUUAACUAGUGCCCCCGGGGCACUGGUUAAGGACUUUAAAUGGUAACCUUUUAUGAAAGUUUGUGUAAUAAAGUGCAUUGGAAAUUGAAAACUUUGACAUUUUAAAAAAAUAAUUGCUGAAUUUAGAAUGCUUAAAAAGUGUCAUGGAGGCACUCGUUAAGAUGGUGUAAAUUGCUCAUUCAAAUACAUAAACACAAUCAAUAAAAGUAACACCCCUAAAUCAAAAAAUGUUACCUCAGGAUGCAGAUUAAAGAAAUUAAUCAGCCUGUAAUUAAAAUAUCGUAUAAGAGCCAAAUCAUCAGACUGUUUGGAGUAAUCUUCUACAACGUCAAAUACCAAGGUUAUCUUCAAAUCUGGUUUCAUUCACAAGCUCUUCUUAUCAACAACAACCACCUUUUCAAUUUCUAUACUUGCAAGGAGUAUUUAUUUUAUUUGCGCUAGAUGAGCAUAAGAGAAGUUUCUGAAAACAAAACAGACUACAGUCACUUCCUUAAUCCAUCAACCAAAGGAAACGGAUCCUCUACAAUUAACACUUUGACCACGUAUGGUGAACUAUAGUGAAGUCAAUCACGGAUCUCAGAAAAAAGCAGUUUGUUCAAAUUUCGCUACACUACAGUGCCAUAGCAUUAGACUCUAUUUGACAACACUUUGAACUAAAUCACAUAUCGCGGAACAAUAUCAAUUUGUUAAAAUUCUACUUCGGUAUGGUGCUUCUAUAUGCACUACUUGAAACCACUGACACAUUUACACACAAACUCAUACACACAUACACCUUUGUAGCACCAAUAAUUUUGAUCAAAGGUGUGUCUAGUUUCCAACACUACACAUUUGAUUACAUUCAACCAUGUCACUUAUUCAUAUAAUUACUAGUGUCCACAUGUGAGUGUACAUAUAACAGUACUUCAUAGAAUGGAAAAUACACACACAUAAAGAUUAUUUUAAUGAGAGGGAAAAAUCAACAUACAACCUUAAAGUGGUUAGUAUCCAUAAAUGAAUAAAUUAAAUUUGAGGGAAUUUGAAAACAAAACAAUCACCUCUUCGCAAGAACUUCAACCUUGGUGCAAAUAUUUUUGAAAAGUUGUUGACUUUUUACGCAGAUGCAACAAUCUAAGUGCACAACUCAUAUCACUUCACAAAUCAGCAAAGGUCAUGUACCUGUAUCAAAAUAAAUACAAAACAUUCAAAAAAAAAAAACUUCAAAUUCGAUUGUUUUUCUAUAAACAUUGAAAAAAUGUUAAUUUAAUUUUGGGUUCAUAAUGGUUAAUUUAAUUUGGAAGCUGGGUGAGUGGAUUCUUGAAAUUGAUGGGUAAUAAUGGUUCAGUCUUCUUUGGAGUAAGACAUACAAUUGAUUUAUCAACUAUGUGGAGAAUCUUCUCACAGUUGAAAUCUGAAGUUUCUUUCACUGAUUAAUCCAAAAAUUCAAUAUUUGGUGAGUUAGACAUACAAAAAUUAAAUAUUUCUGCCAAAACUUGUAACAAAUUAACAUCCUACAACACUAGAGAGAAAAUUUUAUGACUAUCUGGGUAAAAUGAAUGAUAUACUUACUUCAACAUCCCGAGUGUAACACAAUGUUAGCAUCAUUCGCUGGGUUGGUGAAUCGAAUAUCCUCCAUGCUAUUUUUUUCUUUCAAUACAUGGACUCCACUAUACAUGAAUGCAGAGACACCAAAAUAAAUCUCUGCAUGGUUCCACUUAUUUUCUAAAAGUGCUUUGUCCAUAUUAUCAUUGAAGUUCUCCGUUUGCAUAUGAAAAAGAUGCAAAUGAUACAUAUCCGGCCGUUGUCUCCAACAUAUCUCUGAAUUAGAUUUAUAGAUAAAACUAUUGCCGUUGAUGCUCACUCUUAUACCAUGAUAUCCAAACCAAAAUGUCAAUGGAGAAACAACACAAAGAGCUAUGGCAGGAAAUUUGUUACGAAACCAGAAAGAAAUUGACAAUCCUGCCUCGCAUUUGUGGUCGAACCACUUUGGAAUCUUUGGAACCCGUGGCAAACGAAAGCAGGUGUUUCUAGCCUCAUGUAAUUCCUGUUAGUAAAAAAUAAUUAAUGUAAGUUUAACUAUAUCAAAAAGAAUAUAAAAUACAUUACAAACAAAAAAAAAAGAAUCAUAACCUGAUUUAGUAAUUUGCUUUUGCACGACGAAGUCAACGAUAUGCAGUGUACUGCAGAUAACACUCUUAAGCGUGGAGGAAUCCCUUUAAUUUCGUGAAGUUCCUUACAAUCAUCCAAGACAAGUUUCCAUAAAAAUUGACAUUUUUCAAUAGAUUUAGGAAUAAUUGUGAGUUGAUUGUUUGUUAGGUGUAAUUCUUUCACAUUGGCAAACAACAUAAGAGUUUUUGACAAUAAUUCAUCUGAAAGUUUAGCAUUCCUGACACAAAUAUACUUUACAUUUGAAGAUUGCAUUGAAUUCACUUUUUCUUCAUUCAUGAUGGUAAGCUUAGGAUGAUUUCCAUCUGAUCGGUUAUCAUACUGACAGUCACAUGGGUGAAAUGUUGGAGGCUGAGUAAGAUUGUGAAAUUGAAACGAUGAUUCUAUACUGGGAGUGUCAUCCAAGAGGAGUCCUGGUAUAUUUCUCAUCUCUCCCAAUAUUUCUGGAAAACUCUCAAGACUAUAACAACAUGAAAGAUUGAAAUAUUUCAAAGAAGUUAACCUGAGCUGUGGGAUACUCCUAAGCAUGAUGCAGAAUUCAAUAUUCACGAAUUUAAGUUUAUCCAACAACUCAUCCCGCACACUUGAAAAACUCUCGAGCAUAAAACAAUUUGAAAGGUCAAGUUCUUGUAGCAAAUCCAACUUAAGAGGUGGAAUACUUCUGAGAUUGUGACAAUUUUUAACAAGCAUGGUUUUAAGUUUUCCAAGAAACCCGUCAACCACAAGUGGAAAAUUCUCAAGACUAAAACAACAUGAAAGAUCAAGUGUUUCUAGUGAAUCCAACUUGAGAGGUGGAAUACUCCUGAGACUGAAACAGUUUGUAACAAGCAUGGUUUUAAGUUUUCCAAGAUACUCGUCCACCACAAGUGGAAAACUCUCAAGACUAUGACAAUCUGAAAGUUCUAGUGUUUCCAGUGAAUCCAACUUAAGAGGUGGAAUACUUCUGAGAUUGCGACAACAUUUAACAUUCAGGGUUUUAAGUUUUGCAAGAAAUGUGUCCACCACAAGUGGAAAACUCUCAAGAGUAUCACAACAUGAAAGUUCUAGUGUUUCUAGUGAAUCCAACUUGAGAGGUGGAAUACUCUUGAGACUGUGACAAUUUUUAACAAGCAUGGUUUUAAGUUUUCCAAGAUACUCGUCCACCACAAGUGGAAAACUCUCAAGACUAUGACAAUUCGAAAAUUCUAGUGUUUCUAGUGAAUCCAACUUGAGAGGUGGUAUAAUUCUGAGAUUGCGACAACUCUUAACUUUCAAGGUUUUAAGCUUUGCAAGAAAUAUGUCCACCACAAGUGGAAAACUCUCAAGAGUAUCACAACCUGAAAGUUCUAGUGUUUCUAGUGAAUCCAACUUGAGAGGUGGAAUACUUUUGAGAUUGUGACAAUUUUUAACAAGCAUGGUUUUAAGUUUUCCAAGAUACUCGUCCACCACAAGUGGAAAACUCUCAAGACUAUGACAAUCUGAAAGUUCUAGUGUUUCUAGUGAAUCCAACUUGAGAGGUGGAAAACUUCUGAGACUGCGACAGCUUGUAACAAUCAUGGUUUUAAGUUUUCGAAGAUACUCUUCCACCACAAGUGGAAAACUCUCAAGACUAUGACAAAAUGAAAGUUUUAGUGUUUCUAGUGAAUCCAACUUGAGAGGUGUAAUACUCAUGAGACUGCGACAGUUUGUAACAAGCAUGGUUUUAAGUUUUCCAAGAUACUCGUCCACCACAAGUGGAAAACUCUCAAGACAAUGACAAUCUGAAAGUUUUAGUGUUUCCAGGGAAUCCAACUUGAGAGGUGGAAUACUUCUGAGAUUGCGACAACAUUUAACAUUCAGGGUUUUAAGUUUUGCAAGAAAUGUGUCCACCACAAGUGGAAAACUCUCAAGAGUAUCACAACAUGAAAGUUCUAGUGUUUCUAGUGAAUCCAACUUGAGAGGUGGAAUACUCUUGAGAUUGUGACAAUUUUUAACAAGCAUGGUUUUAAGUUUUCCAAGAUACUCGUCCGCCACAAGUGGAAAACUCUCAAGACUAUGACAAUCUGAAAGUUCUAGUGUUUCUAGUGAAUCCAACUUGAGAGGUGGAAUACUCUUGAGAUUGUGACAAUUUUUAACAAGCAUGGUUUUAAGUUUUCCAAGAUACUCGUCCGCCACAAGUGGAAAACUCUCAAGACUAUGACAAUUUGAAAGUUCUAGUGUUUCUAGUGAAUCCAACUUGAGAGGCGGAAAACUCCUGAGACUGCGACAGCUUGUAACAAUCAUGGUUUUAAGUUUUCGAAGAUACUCUUCCACCACAAGUGGAAAACUCUCAAGACUAUGACAAAAUGAAAGUUUUAGUGUUUCUAGUGAAUCCAACUUGAGAGGUGGAAAACUUCUGAGACUGCGACAGCUUGUAACAAUCAUGGUUUUAAGUUUUCGAAGAUACUCUUCCACCACAAGUGGAAAACUCUCAAGACUAUGACAAAAUGAAAGUUUUAGUGUUUCUAGUGAAUCCAACUUGAGAGGUGGAAUACUCCUUAGCUUGAUGCAAUGUCUAACACUCAUUAUUUUAAGCUUAUCACCAAAGUCAUCUAUCACAGGUGAAAAAUUCUCAAGAUUACUACACUCUGAAAGAUAGAGUUCUUCUAGAGAAGGUAACAUGAGAGGUGGAAUAAUUCUGAUUUCGGUGCAUUUUACAAUUCUCAAAAUUUUAAGGUUACCUAAAAAACCUAUCGAUUUAUCAAUUGCAAUUAGUGUCUUACAAUAUUGUAUUGAAAAUUCUUCUAAAUUUAGGAGACCAGAUAUAUCAGGUAUUUGUGCUAAAUCUUGACUUCUAUUGAGAUUUAAAACUCUCAUAUUCUGGAAUUUCUGCAAAAAAAUGGAAAUAGAAAACAUUGCAAAUAAAUAACUAAUAUUAAACCAUAUUUAUUAAUUUAAGAUAAGAGAUAUAAAUAUGUUACACUUGCCUUUGUGAGAAAGCCCUCCCACUCCAAUGGAUUGAGCUUGCUACAUUCCAGCACUCUUAGACUAUUUGGAAGAUGUUUGGGAUUUUCACAUAAAUAAACUUUAUUACCAAAAAUUAGUGUUUUAAGAUUCUCCAUCUUCUUGAAAGCUUCUCCAUCCCAUUCCACUUUAACCCAACUGUCCAAAUGUAUGAUUUCAAUUUUACUUGUUCCCUAAAAAGAAAAAAGGACAAAUCAACCGAAUAUAUAGUAGUACUUUAUACCAAGUAUUUAGAUAUCUUUAAAUACUAUUGAGAGUUUAAUUUAUAUAGACUCUUAGUGUUAAAAAGUUAUACACAUGCAUUCAUAAUUAUGUUUGGGUUUUUGAGAAAAAUCAGCAGGCAUAAUUAUUAGUGUUUUGAGAUUAUUCAUCCUCUUGAAAGCUUCUCCAUCCCAUUUUACUCUAUUCCAACAGUUGAAAUGUAUGAUUUCAAUUUGAUCUGUUCCCUAUACACAAAAACGGACAAAUCAAACAAUAUAUGUUUGUAAAAAAAUACACGAAUAUAUGUUAGAACUUUACGUUUUUUUUUUUUUGUUGAGAUGUUUUAAUCAUGAAUUUGAGAUGUUACACCACGUAUUUAAAGAUCUUGAAAUAUUAUUAAGUGUUCAACUUUACCCUUAUGUAAAUUGUAUGUUAAAAAGUUAUAUACAUACAUUUAAUCCAUCAAUUAAUAUAUGAUAAAUCAUAUGUUUUUAAUUCAUUAAAUGUAUGACAACACAUUUUUUAAGGUAUGAGUAAAAAAAAAUUACACUCAUCUACAUAUAAAUUAAACUCAUAAAGGUAAAAAAAAAAUUGUGAUAUUGUGACGAUUAAUAACAUUAAGGUUUAUUAGAUCAUUUGGUCCCUUAUUUAAUUUCAUGUUUUCAUUUUGAUCCCAUAAUUAAUAAAAAUGGCGUUUUAGUCCCUCACAUUUUCCUCCAUUUUGCAAAUAAAUCUCAACUGUUAAAUUUAAUCCAAAAUGUAUAUUGUGGACCAACAUUAUAGAUGGUUCAUUGUAGACUUUAUUAAUUUUAUUCAAUGUUAGCCCUUUGAUUAUAUUGAACAUAAAGGGACCAUUGGAUUAUCAAUUGAUUUUACCUCACAAGUUCAAUUCCACGGUAUUUGUAUUUGUUUUUACAAAUUAUGUUAUAUAAUACAUUGAACCAGGGGCAUCAAGGUUAAAACAAAGAAGCCUCGCCACCAAACCAUUAUAUUUGUCUUAUUUUGAAUUAGAACAUAUAUAUCAUAUAAUAUGAGUAAAUAGUCAAUUUCCCUCUUGAAAUUGUAGGUUUCGUCAAUUACCUCCCUGAUAUUAACAAAACUUCAAUUACCCCCUUGAAAUUGCAUAACGUUAAUCAAUUUACCCCCUCCAUCAAAUUUUUCUGUUAACAGUUUACGGUUAUGAUCAAAUACCCCCCGAAAUUUUGCACUUAUGUACAAAAUGCCCCCUAAACUUUAAAUAUUUAUAUUUUUUUAUCCUUGUCUCAAAAGAUAUUAAAGACAAACAAAUUAACAAUUAUUGAUCAUAUAAAUAUGUAUGGAAUGUAUGUUUAUGCAGCUAUUGGUUAUAUAAAUCUUGGAUAAUGAUAAAUAGUACGGGACGGUGAGCACGAAAAUUAACGAAAGUAGUUAUUGCUUGCCAUUUAGUCAUGUUUUCCGUAAAUUGGUUGUUUUUAAUACUUCUCAUGUUAUAAUUGUCAAGCUUUUUAUUAGCCAUUACCCAUGAUUUCCGUCAAAGCAUACUAUAUCAGUUUUUAAUUUCAUAAAAAUUGGACAAGUUGGGCAUUCGUCUAUUUUCGUACGUGCAUUUUUUCGUACCAUAUAGCAUUGCUGAUAAAUCUUUAUGGAAGGUAUGUUACUCUCAUGUGUUUUAAAUAUAUACAUAUAUAGAGGACUUUUUUUUACAGAAGUUGAUAAUUAUGUUAGAGUAUGCAGUCAUAAAGUACACAAAUCUUUGAUAAUUGUGUUGUCCAUAAAGAAAAUUAAUAGGUUAAUAUAUGCAGAAGGAAGAAGAAACAAGGCUUGUUGAUAAAUAUGAAAUAUGAAUGAAAAGGCUGCGCAUGACAAACCCAUGAUUUCUUUGGCAUAUAUUCAUUCAUUUUCUUGUGAAUAGAAUUUUUAUGCCAAUAGGUACAAUAUACUACUUAAAGAACUAAAUGUAUGAUUUUUUGUAAGAAAAAAAUCUAAAUUUUUAAGUUUAGGGGGCAUUUUGCACAUAAGUGCAAAAUUUCAGGGGAGGUAUUUGAUCAUAACCGUAAACAGUUAACGGAAAAAUCUGACGGAGGGGUAAAUUGAUUAACGUUAUGCAAUUUCAGGGGGGUAAUUAAAGUUUUGUUAAUUUCGAGGGAGUAAUUGACGAAACUUACAAUUUCAGAGGGGAAAUUGACUAUUUACUCCAUAUAAUAUAUGCUUUUUAUAGAUAAAAAAAAUAUGGUUGGGCUGAUGUGGCAUUAGCCACACCUAGCCUCACAAAUUCGCCCCUGAGCAUAUGCAACGACACGUUCUAAAACAUGCAUUUGUUCUAACGAAAUACUAUUAUUAUAGCUCAGACUAAAUCCAUCUUUAAAAGCUUUCCGUCUAACCAAACUCAAGAACAUCUUUUUCAUUCAACCCCUUCACCUCAUAUGUAAGUUCAACCCCAUGACAUGUUAGCAAGCUUUUGUCCCGAAUUGUGACGAUGAUUCGACUUAAGGAACUAAACCAUUUGUGUUUUCCAGCCAGAGCUUCUAAUUGCUCUAGCUUGUUAACAUCGUCUAGAAUCAAAAGCAACUUCUUUGGCUGGACCCUUUGCUCCAAUAUAGAAAUUCCUUGUACAACACCUGUUAACUCCUUAUUCUCCCCCAACUACUUUAAGAAUGAUCUUUUAGGAGAUACAACAAACCAUGUUUUUAAGAAUUUUCUCUACCAUGUAGGCAAUCAAAUUAUAGACAGAUAAAGUAAGAGUUGCUUUCCCUAUUCCACCAAUCCCAUGGAUCCCUACCAUGUGGUAUCAUCAGACCCAAGAUUCAAAAGGAAAGUUACAUGUUGCUUUUGCUGCUCCAGUCCAAGUAGGUAAGGCAAUGAGUUUUAUAUUUCCUAUGAUAUGUUCAACAAUCUCUCCAAUAAAUUUAUGCUCAAACUUAUCCCUAUUCCAAUAAGAGAAAAGAUGUUAUUCAAAUGCUUAUAUUAGGCUUAAUUGUGUUUUUCAUCCUCCAUAUAUCGCGAUUGUGUGGCUUUAGUCCCCAUUUUUUGAAGGAAUUUUGCCCCUUAUGUUUUCAUCAUGAUUUGAUAGUCUCCUUCCCAAAACUUACCUUGAUUUGACAUUAUUUAUUGAUGUAAUAGUCAACUCUUAUAAACAUGUGAUUUUUCUUUAUGUUUAAAAAAAUACCAAAAAUCAGCUUCUACACUUGAGACCUGAGAGCAAAUGGAACUUGUAAUAAGGGUGUCAGACAUUUUGUCAUGUUCUGAAGUUUUUCUUUUUUAUUUUAAAGAAAAGUAAUUAGUUGAGUGUCAUGUUAAUACAUGAUGUCACCGCAACUUAAUUUUGGAGGAAACUUGGGAAGGAGACUACCAAAUCACAAUGGAGGAAAAAAUCAAAAAAAAUUCAAAUUACACUUCGUCCUAUUUUUUCUUAUCAUUCUUUUUCCUAUUUUUCACACUUCUUCCGUUCUAACAUACCGCAGUUUUACAAUAUGCAUUAUUUAUUUAACUUAUUUUGACCAUAUUAGUAUGUAAGAUGUCGUACGAUUUGUUUCAAUGAAUAUUUUUAAAUUUCAAAUUUUUAUUGAUAAUUUUUAUAAUGGUCAAAAUCAUAUAUUGACAUGUGUUAAGUGGUUAAUUGUGACAUACAUUUAGAAACAAAAUGAGUAUUAAUUAAGCUUCUAUGAGUCGGCAUUUUUUGAUUGUGUGGUAUGUUCUGUGUAAUUAUUAAUAUGUUUACAUUUAUUUUAAUUCCAAUUGGUUUUUCAUUAUUAAAUGAAUUAAAAAAAUUAUUUUUCAAAUAUGACUCAGCGCAUUAUUAAAUGAAUUAGAAAAAAUUCUAAAUUUGCGACUUUUUUUAAUUCUGAAAAUUAAUUUCCAGAUUUUUUAUAUUUUUACAAAGAAAAAAAUUUCAAUCUCAAAAGGAAAACUUGAAGAUCAAUUUUUUAUUUUCGAAAAGUAUUAUCUAAUUUUUUGUUUUUUUUAAUCACAAAAAAUAUUUUCCAGAAUUAUUAUUUUUUGUAGAAAAAUAAAAAAAAACUUUUUUUUUGAAAAAAAUCUGAACUUUUUUAAUUUCGAAUUUGUUUAACUAAUUUUUGUUUUGUUUUUAUUUUGAAAAUUAAGUUCCAGAAUUUUUUAUUUUUUUAAGAAAAAAAUCUGAAUUUUUUUAAAAUUUUCGUAAUUAAUUAUCUGAUUUUUUUUUUAAUUUUUUUUUAUUUUUAAGUUAAUUUAAAUGAAAACCCAAUUAGGAUUUAAAUAAAUCUAAAAAUUUUAUAAUUACACAAUCAACAUGUCACAUAAUUAAAAAAUGCUAACUCAGUGCGCCACAUAAACAUAAAUAUAUAGUUAGCUGUCUUAAGUGUCUAAAGCUAAAGAAUCUUCAUAUUAUGGAUAUGGAAUUUAAACUUCUUUUAUAGGACAAAACAAAAAAUGAUCUAUAUAAAACACGGUUAACCUUUAAUUCAAAACCAGAUUCAACUGCAAAUCACUUUAUGAUAAGAAACCAUAUUUUUAAUCAAUUCAUAUUCUGUUAUGGUUUGUUUAAAACUCCAAAUCACUUCGUUUUCUUAAUCGAUUCGAAUUCUUCUAUUCUUCUUUUUAAUUAAUUAUGUUGGUUCUUUUUUUUUUUUUUUGGUUUGAAUUAUCGGUUUGGGUUUUGUGGUUAUCUUUUGUCCCUUUGCUUUAGUAUCGAUUUGAAUUCUUCUAUUCUUCUUUUUAAUCAAUUAUGUUGGUUUUUUUUUUUCUUUUUUCUGUUUGAAUUAUCGGUUUAGGUUUUGUGGUUAUCUUUUGUCCCUUUGCUUUAGUGGUAGGUAGUGUAGUGUAUCAGUUUUGGAGGUUGGUACUUCGUAGAAGGAAUUUUUGUUAUUGGCUUUGUUCUUCUAUUUUGGUCCUAUAGUUAAAUUUUUUUUUUUUUUUUUUUAAUCAUAGUCCUAUAGUUAAUUUUUUUUUUUGGGAUCAUGGUCCUAUAGUUAAAUAAAAAGACAUUUCUUACGUAAUUAGAAAGUGUGCACCAAAGCAUUAUAAGAUAUAAUAUUGUUAUCAUAUUUCUUUUAUCAGAUGCGCACCAAACAUAUGAUAGGAUAAGUAUAUAUUAUAUCAUUAUCAUAUCAUAUCAUAAUCCAACCUACCAUAUCAUUUCUUUAUCAUAUUAUACGCAUUAAACAAGUACUAAGAGUUUAAGUUAUAUACAUCUUAAUCAUCAGUGUUAGAAAGUUUUACACAUACAUCUAAUGAUAUGUUUUCACAUCAAUUAAUGAUAUAUGAUAAAUCAUGUGUUUUUAAUCCAUUAAAUGAAAUGAUGUAGCAACAUAUUAUUUGAAUGUAUGUAUAAAAAACAAUUACACUAACGCCGCAUAUAAAUUAAACUCGUAUAAAGGAAAAAAAUUGUGACAAUUAAUAACAUUAUUAAUGCAUAAAGCAAAAAAGGUAACUUAGCGCUAGGAUUAACAAUAGUAACUCACCUUAUUUUCUUCUAAAACUUUUUGUAUAUCUUUAGGGUCCCAUAACCUACUGCGUUCUCCCGGAUUAUUUGGUGACUCUUGUCUAACAAUUUCUUUUCCCAUAUCUUCUAGCAAAUCAUGUAAUGCUACAUAACCAAACCCAUCUAUUUUUAUGAGAGAUUUUUCCACUAACACAUUAAUGUGAUCUUUCAUGUUAUCACCAUGAUGAACAUGAAGUAUUUCUUCGACCCUUGUUAAUUUCCAUCCUUUGAAGCAACAAGCAAUGUCAAGAAAAACAAACUUCUCUUCGUCCUCCAGAGCAUCAAAGCUCACUUGUAGUGUCAUUUGGAUCUUUUUAUGAGGAAUUUUUUCGUAACGAUCUAGUGCAUCUUUACAUUGUUCUAUUGUCUUAUUAGAAAAGUGAGAACCCAUGACUUCCAAAGCGAGUGGAUGACCAGAGGCAUAUGUUACAACACGUUCUAAAACAUGCAUUUUUUCUGUUGAAACAUUUUUGUAGCUUGGACUAAAUUCAUCUUUAAAAGCUUUCCUUCUAACCAACUCAGCAGCAUCUAUGUCAUUCAACCCCUUCACCUCAUAUUUACAUUCAAUCCCAUGACAUGUUAGCAACCUUUUGUCCCGAGUUGUGAUGAUGAUUCGACUUGAGCGAUUAAACCAUUCGUGUUUUCCAGCCAGAGCUUCUAAUUGCUCUAACUCAUUAACAUCGUCAAGAAUCAAAAGUAUCUUCUUUUGCUUGAGCAUCUGUUCCAAUUUUGAAAUCCCAUUUAGAACACUUGUUAACUCCUUUUUCUCCCCAACUACUUUAGAAAGAAUGAUCUUUUGGAGAUAUGGUAACCCAUGUUUUUCAUGACUUUCUCUAACAUUUUCAACAAAACAUGAAACCUCAAAUUCAUUGGCAAUCAAAUUAUAAACAGAAAUAGCAAGAGUUGUUUUCCCUAUUCCACCAAUCCCGUAGAUCCCUACCAUACAUGCUUUAUCAUCCGACCCAACAUUCAAAAGGGAAAUCACAUGUUGCUUUUGGUGCUCCAAUCCAACUUUGUAAUCACCAACAGGCAAUGCAACAGGUUCUAUAUUUCCUAAAACUUUUUCAACAAUCUCCCCAAUAAACUUAUGCUCAGGCAUAUCCCUGUCCAAUAUGAGAAAAGAGGUCAUUCAAGUGCAUAUAUUAGGAUUAAUUGUGUUUUUCAUCCUCUAUCUACAGCGACCGUACAAUUGCCGUCUCCAUUUUUUUAGGAGUUUACAUUUUGACAUUUUUUUUGAGUUUUAUUUUUAAAUUUUAAAGGAAAAUCAUUAAUUGAGUGUUAAGUUAAUAAAUGAUGUCACAAUAAUAUAUAUUUGGAUGAAACUGAGGAAGGAGACUACCAAAUUACAAAGGAGGAAAACGGGGCAAAAUCGCUCAAAUUGUGCUAUGCUUUGUUUGUUGUUUGAGAUUUUGAAAAAUGAAUUAAGAAAUAUAAUUACCAUAGAUGUUUUAAUAAAAGGAACUUUGUUUAGUUUCUUAUCAUUCUCUUUACCGCUAUUAGCGUUUAGACGGCACAAGUGCCGUCUUUUUUUUUUUUUUUUUUUUUUUGCGCUAAUGCGAUAAAUUACCAAUAUUAUUUAUGAAAUGUUGAUUAAAAUUAAAGGUAUAUAUAUUACAUAUUUUACACUUUCAUAUUGCAACAAACUAUAUUUAUUUUUUUCUAUGAUAUCAAAAAUAUAAAAAAUCUUUCAGAGACAAAAAAACAAUAUAACAAAUAAGGUUAAAUAUAUUUUUUGUCCCUAUAAUAUACAAACUUUUCGUUUUAAUCCAUCUAAAAUUUUUAUUCAACUUGAAGUCCCCAAAUCCAUCUUCACUUUUGGCUCAUCCUUUUAAAUAAACUCAUAUGUAGAAUUUAUAUUUUUGAUUAAAAUGUUGCAGAAUAGUUUAUAAUAUAAUCUCUCAAAAAAAUUAGAAAUUUUUAACUAAACAUGAAUUAAAUAAGAGUUUUUCAAUUUUUUACGGUUAAAUAUUAAUAUUUUGUUAAAAAAUUAUAUUUUUUUUGAAGAUUUUGACAAUAUUAUAUACAUUUCUUCACAUUUCAUUAAAAGUUACAAAGUUUACGGGAGUUGACUUAAAAAUAAGAACCAAAAGUAAUUAUUGAAAUUUGUAUAGAACCUAAAAGUCGAUGAUAUUUUUUAAAGGGACUAAAACGAAAAGUAGAUAUAUUUAUAGGGAUCAAUAUUUAACCUUAACAAAUAUAAUAUAAAUUCUUAUCUUUUUUAAUGAAAUCAACAAAAUAACUAUUUUAUAGUCAAAUUUGUUUAAGGUAUAAAAUCACAACCAAACGAACCAAUAUAUUUUUUCCUAGAGGAAUGCUAAUGACACUUUCAUAGCAUUCAGACUUUUACUGAAUAAAAUUAAUGUAUGACCCAUCAGUUCGAUCAAAUCGAAUCCGUAUCUAAAAUAUAAGAUUACUUUGAUUUACUAAUCUUAUGUAAUGAACCUGGAUAAGAAACUGCCACGUCAGACAUCUUAGGUGUAAGGGGUUAUAAGAAUGAGAAGGGAAAUGGAAAGGGGGUGUGAAAUAUGUGAUGAUCUCAUUUCUCUUCUAAUCUCUCUCUUUCUCUUUUGUGUACCUCUGUACCUUCAUAAUUUUCUGCAAUUACUUGUUAUUGAACAAUCCAUUAAACACUGUACUAAAUUCCCCAUUAUUCAAGUUUAGUUCCUUUGAAUAUUUGUACCAUCAUUACAUCUUACUCUAUUUUUCUAUGUAGUUGGUGUAAGUGGUAAAGAUUAACUCACAUGAUCUGGAUUUAAUUUUUUUUUAAUGAGAAGAUAACUUAGGUAGAUAAUUUAUAAAGGGUUUGUCUGACAUAUAUAAUAUUGCAUAUGUUAAAGCUAUUAAAAUUAAUAAGUUUUUAUUGAAAAACAACAGUUAUUUAUUAAAAAGUUAUAUAUUUAAUAUAAAUUAUAAAAACCUCUAUAAAUUUUCAAUUCAUAUGAACUAUCCGUCAAAUUGUAAGUAUCCUUUUUUUAUAUUUAAAAAUCUUAAAUUAUUUGUAACUAAAUUAUCAUUAAUUAUUUAUUAAAGAGUUUAUUGUUUGUGAGUUGGGUUUCGGAGGGGAGGGGAGGGGAAGGAAAUGUUUAUGGAGUGUAAACCCUUGUUUGCGAGUUUUAAAAAAACAAGGGAAAGGUUUUGGGGGGGUUUUGAAGGGCUUUGUCCAAUUUUAAAGUUCCCCCAAAUUGGAGGGUUUUGGGGGGUUAAACAUAUAAAUUGACAAUUUUGUCCUCUUAAUAAUUCCAAAUUCCAAUUUUAGACAUUACUAAAAUUAUUACAAUCUUUUUAAAAAAAAACUUAUUCAAAACAACUUAUUUAUAUAAAAGAGCUUAUUAAGACCUCAUUUUCAAAAACUGCUUAUUUAAAACAACUUAUUACGACCUCAUUUUAAUAAAAAAAACUUAUUCCAAACAACUUAUUUAUACAAAACAGCUUAUUACGACCUCAUUUUCAAAACAGCUUAUUUAUCCAAAACAGCUUAAUACGAUCUCUUUUUCAAAAACAGCUUAUUCAAAACAGCUUAUUUAUAUAAAACAACUUAUUACGACCUCAUUUUCAAAAACCGCUUAUUCAAAACAACUUAUUUAUACAAAACAGCUUAUUACGACCUCAUUUUCAAAAACCGCUUAUUCAAAACAACUUAUUUAUACAAAACAGCUUAUUACGACCUCAUAUUCAAACACAGCUUAUUCAAAACAACUUAUUUAUGAAAAACAGCUUAAUAUGAUAUCUUUUUCAAAAACAGCUUAUUCAAAACAACUUAUUUAUACAAAACAAUUAUUACGAAACAGCUUAUUAAUAAGCUAUUUUGAAUAAGCUGUUUUGUAUAAGCUGUUAUUUAAACAAAACAGCAUAUUACGACCACAUUUUCAAAAACCACUUAUUCAAAACAACUUAAUUAUACAAAACAGGCUUAACAUGACCUCAUUUUGAAAAAUAGCUUAUUCAAAACAACUUAUUAAAGCAAAGCAGCUUAAUACGAUCUCUUUUUUAAAAACAGCUUAUUUAUAUAAAACAGCUUAUUACGACCUCAUUUUCAAAAACCGCUUAUUCAAAACAUCUUAUUACGACCUCAUUUUAAAAAAAAAAAAAAAACUUAUUCAAAACAUCUUAUUUAUACAAAACAGCUUAUUACGACCUCAUUUUCAAAAACAGCUUAUUCAAAACAGCUUAUUUAUGCAAAACAACUUAAUUCGAUCUCUUUUUCAAAAACAGCUUAUUUAUACAAAACAACUUAUAACGACCUCAUUUUCAAAAAUCGCUUAUUCAAAACAACUUAUUUAUACAAAACAGCUUAUUACGACCUCAUUUUCAAAAACAGCUUAUUCAAAACAACUUAUUUAUAUAAAACAGCUUAUUACGACCUCAUUUUCAAAAACCGCUUAUUCAAAACAACUUAUUUAUACAAAACAGCUUAUUACGACCUCAUUUUCAAAAACAGCUUAUUCAAAACAACUUAUUUAUGAAAAACAGCUUAAUACGAUAUCUUUUUCAAAAACAGCUUAUUCAAAACAACUUAUUUAUACAAAACAGCUUAUUACGACCUCAUUUUCAGAAACAGCUUAUUCAAAACAACUUAUUUAUGAAAAACAGCUUAAUACGAUAUCUUUUUCAAAAACAGCUUAUUCAAAACAACUUAUUUAUACAAAACAGCUUAUUACGAAACAGCUUAUUAAUAAGCUAUUUUGAAUAAGCUAUUUUGUAAUAAGUUGAAAAAGCUAUUUUUGAAAAAGAGAUUGUAAUAAGUUGUUUUAUAUAAAUAAGCUAUUUUGAACAAAUUUUUUGAAAAGAGGUCGUAAUAAGCUGUUUUGUAUACAUAAGUUGUUUUUGAAAAAGAGAUCGUAUUAAGCUGUUUUGAAUAAGCUAUUUUUUUUUAAAGAGGUCAUAAUAAGCUGUUUUGUAUAAACAAGCUGUUUUGAAUAAGUUGUUUUUUAAAAAAAGAUCGUAAUAAUUCGUUUUUUCAUAAGAUAAGCUGUUUUUUAAAAAGAGGUCGUAAUAAGUUGUUUUGUAUAAAUAAGUUGUUUUUAAAAAGCGAUUGUAAUAAGUUUUGUUUUUUUUUUUUAUAAAUAAGUUGUUUUGAAUAAGUUUUUUUAAAAAUAGAUCGUAAUAAUUUGUUUUUCAUGAGAUAAAUUGUUUUGAAUAAAUUAGAAGUUAAAUUACGAAGUAUAACAAUGUAUUGAUUUUAAGAGGAAAAAUGGUAAAAUAGUAAAAUUAUAACAUAAGCCCUCAACUUCCUUUCCUUAUUGGCUUUUUAACUCCUAAACAAGGGGAAUGUUUUCCCUCCUUUCUCCCUUCCCUCCCUUUCCUUCCCUUUCCCUUCUUAGUCUUUCCUUUCCUUCCCCUCAAAACUCGCAAAUAAAGCCUAAAGAGUUUAUUGUUUUCAAUUCAAGUGACUAUUUUUUGAUGGACAAAUGAAAUAAAAAACAGAACAUAGGAAUAUACCGUUUCUUCUUGUAAUGAAAUCCAGACAAAUCAGCUACUUGGUGAAGACACACCUUCCAUUUAUCAAGAUUUGAGUUGGCCUUAUGUUUAUCCAUUGCUUCUCCAUAACUCUUUUCUAACUUCCGUAUAACAGAGGGAUCCACCUUAUAAAAUACCGGCAAAACGGAACGUCCUUUAUCUUUGAUGGAAUGAAGGAUAUGAGAAAGUUCUUGUAAGCAAAAGGAGGAAGAAGCAUAAUUCUUAGAAAGGACGACGAUGGCGAUUUGGGAGUCUUCAAUUGCUUUGAGAAGUGAUGGUGUGAUUUCUUCGCCUUUUUGAAGCUCCUCAUCGUCCAUGAAAGUUCUAACUCCUUUGUCAUCUAGAGCUUUCUUGAGAUAGCUUGUGAAACCAUAACGAGUAUCCUCACCUCGAAAGCUGAGAAAAACAUCAUACUUGAAUCGAUUUGUGACUGUGAGGGGAGCCAUGAUGAGUGAAUGAGUUGGUUUGAUGAAUAUUAGUAUUCAGAUUCAAAGGAAAGAACAGUUGUUUAUAGAAAAUUGAGCUAGGAUGAAUGUGAAUUAUGCAGAGUGUACUGAACUUAAAGGACUUUGGAGUAUCUAUAAAGUCAUGAAAGUGGGACUGCCUUGUCACCAGUUGAGGCAAUUUCCGGGCAAUUUCCCCGAAUUGAUUAAGCAAAAUAAUUUCAAGGGGCAGAUUUAAAAGUGAAAUAAUCCCCGUGAACUUAGCUCAGUUGGUACGGAUAUUACAUAUUAUAUGCAGGGGCCCGGGGUUCGAAACGCGGACACCUCACUUCUCCGCAAUUAAAUUGUGUGAGCUUUAGCCACUAGUCUCCUUGAUCCAAAAAAAGUGAAAUAAUGUUAAAGCUGCUGGGACAUUAUACGAGUGAAAGUGAAAUUCUCGUGUUGUCAGUAGAGGAGGAAAAGUGAAAUUCUCGUGUUGAUUAAACAAAAAUGUUUGGACAUUAUAUUUAUACGAGUGUUGUAUUACCAUUUUUUUUGAUAAUUAUCUCUCACGUACUAAUGUUAUUUUCCUAUUUCAUCUCUCCUCUUUUUCUUUUUCUAUUAUUUUAGUCUAAUAAAAAGAGAGAAAAAUAAAAUGUACCAAAAGUUAUGAGAUAUACGUAUAGUUUUAUACCCCGUGAAACUUUAAGUUGAAUCAAUCAUUUACACAAUUGAAUAAUCACAUGAAUUGAAUAAGAUCCCGUUUGGAUAAAUAGUUUAUACACGGGCUUAUAACAUUAGAGUUUAUAGAACUAGAGCUUACAUAAGCUCUUAUACUCAAUAAACUUUUUAUGUUUGAAUAUGUACAUUAAAAAGUACUUAUAUAAAUUGAAAUGUUUGAAAAUGUCACUACAUAAGCAAAUAUGAAAUGUUAAAAUAUUUUUAAUUUAACAUAUAUAUAAUCAAAGAAUCAAACCACGAUUAUAAAGAUGAAAAAAAAAACAAUAUUAAUAUAUAUAUAUAUUAACUUUCUGUUUAGUCGCUCUAAAAGUUGUUUUCGAUUUUUAGUCUCUAAAAAAAAUUUCAUCUUCACUUCUAGUCUCUCAUUUUAAGUAAACUUAUAUGUAGAAUUCAUAUUUUUGCAGAAAGGAGAAAAGAGGAACUUAUUUACCCAAAAACAAAAAAUCGGCAAGAAAGGAUGUGGAACGGCCAUUUGGAGUGCUUCAAUCUCGAUUUGCAAUUGUACAUGGUCCGGCCAGUGCUUGGCACAUGGCUACAAUCAAACAUAUAAUAUAUGCAUGCAUCAUAUUACAUAAUAUGAACGUUGAAGAUGAACGACACACAUAUGAUGGUAAUUUUGAGUAUGAUAACCCAAACAAUGACAUCGCCACAACUGAAGUAUCCAAUGCUCCUCAUUCUGAUUUCAUCACAUACUUGCAAAGGAGAGCACAUGUUCAUGAAAGAGAAAAACAUCGACAAUUGCAGGGAGACUUGGUGGAACAUAUUUGGUCAUGUUUUCAGGCAUGAUAAUAAUGAAAACUAAUUUUUCAUUUUUUUAUGUAUUUCUAUUUGGUUGAACUUGUUCUCAAUAAAUUAUGUAUUUCUUUUCAUAAUUAGAUAAUAUAUCUAUUUUUCCGUUAUUUAAUAUUUUUAGAAAAAAAUUAUAUAUAAAUAAGAAUUUCAUUUUGAAAAAUAUUAUAAUAAAAUAAAAAUAUGUGAGGUCAAUUGUAGGACCAUAUAAUGUAAGUUAAGAACACAAAUAUUGUACUUUGCAUUGGACUAAAAAUGAAAGAAAGUUCUUAAUAUAUAAAGCCUCCAAUUACCAACUUAUUGGUUUCUUAUAUUCUUUUAUAGAAACCAAAAUAGUUAAAUGUCAUAUAUUCUUCCACUCUAAAAAUGAAAGUUUUAUUUGGAUCCAUCGAAGGCAGUAAGUUUAAGAGACAUAUGUUACCAUUUAACUUCAAAAUCCAAGCACUUAAAGUGUGAUACAUUCUGAUAAGAAUCCAUUUAUAGAUCACAGUUAAGUUAGCUGAAAUAAUGCUAAUAUGCAUGCAAGUGUGAUACAUUCUUAUACAAUGAUCUGUUAGAUUUAAUUAGUUGUUUUGAAAAUUCAGUCAUGUUGAUAAAACUGAGUGCCAUUUUCCAUGAGCAGUGUGGCAAGAUUCAUGCAAUUGUAAGGAAGCAUCUGCUGCCAAUUUUUAAGGAUCAAAUUGAAGAGGGCGCGCAACUUAUGUUAUGGAGAAAUUCAUGGUUGCCCAAAAUGAUCCUACCUCCAAAACAACCGAUCAUAAGAAUAAGUUGAGCUUUAUGGCAGAAAUCAAUUUUUUCAAGGUUAAUGCUGCAGAAAUCCCAGAAAGAGUUUUCAACUUGUGCCUUUCCUUGAUAUCUUAGCUGCCCAUAGGGAGGACCGUUUGCUUGGUAGUUUUCUAUAUUUUUUUAAUUCAAUUUUCUAGACUUUCUUUUAGUUUUAUCAGAUGUCAUUUACCUAUAGUUUGAAUGUAUUCAAUAGAUGUGAUUGGUCUUUGUGUUUCUGAAUAAUUCUAAUUGCAACAACUUUGUUGAAUUAGAGUUUGCCAUAUUUCAUGAGUUUCUUUUUUAUUUUGCACUUCAAUGGAGUCAUGUUUUUCCCCUCAACUUAUGGUGAUUUGUUUAUAUUUCAUGGAAUUCAGGCAAAGCUAAGAGAGGUUCCAUCUUUGGAGGGACAUGUUCUUUUGAAGAAGCAAAGAGAUGCAUUAGAAUAUUUGAAAGGCCGUUUUACAGGAAGAAAUAAAGAGGAUGUGGCAAAUUCUAUCUCUAUGGUUUGUUAUUUUAUACUACUCCAUGCUCUUGAGUCUUGUGUACUUUACUUUGUUCAUUGUUUGAAUUCGUAUUUCUGUUCAUUCCCUGUGGUGACCGAAAAAAAAAAUCGAAUCUUCCUGAUUUUUUGAGUUUCUAGGCUCGCUCUUUUCGAGAAUAUCAAUUUUUUCUUUAUAUUCACAUAUUUCAGUGACUCUAUUUCAAAGUGCAUUACAAAAAUUCUUAUUCCUCUUAAUCAAUCCAUGUUACUCCAUAAUUAACAAUAUAUUAUUCACAGGUGGAAGCUUUAGCCGUUAAGUUGACUCAGAAGAAUGAAGGAGAAUUGAUUCAAGAGAAGUUCAAAGUGAAAAAGCUUUUGAAUUUUCUCAAACAGGUCUUAUUUGACACCUAAACCUUUAUUUUUCUAAAGGAAUAUAUAGAAUAUGCGUCAAAACAUUAAGAUUAUUAUUUAUUUUUUUCUGAAAAAGAAAUGUGAUUCCAUCUUUGUGCUAUAGGCUUCUGAAGAUGCUAAAAAGUUGGUUAAUCAAGAGCAGUCUUUUGCUUGUGCCGAAAUCGAGAAUGCUAGAGCAGUGGUGCUGAGAUUUGGGGAGGCACUUGAAGAAGAAAAAGUUACACAAGCUUCUAAAAAAAUCAAAAUCUUAAUAUUAAUUAAAUCAUCCCAAACAUCAAAAUAGAAUUCAAUAAAUAAGGUAAAACAUUUCAUUACCUGAAAUUUCCUAUAGAUUAUAAUCAGAAUCAGUUUCAUCUUCACUUUCAAGAUCGUUAUCACUUUGUGGCAAAAAGACUUGCGAAACAGGUUCACUAACCAAAUCUUGCAUAACCAUCUUUGACAGAUCACCAUGACAUCCUAUAUUGCCCACCAGAUUUUUUUCAGGCUGACAAAUGCUUUGAGAUUCAUCAAAUGCAUAAGGUUGAGAUUGCAUUGGAGCUGACAAAGUCUCUUCAACAAAACAACUUCCAUUAACAUUUUUCCUGCGAUGGUCGGAACUUCUCUUUUCACGAUGUUCCACAACUUCAAUCUCAUGCGAGUGUUUUCGUUUCAGACUACCUACAUUAUUACCAUAAAUUGUUUGAGUGAGAGACUUGAGCCUAACCUAUCAGCAUAAAUUAUACAGUGAGUUACCUUGAUUGGAUUCUAAGAACUGAGAGACAAUUUGCUCAAAAUCCAUUGCUUUUGACGCUGAACAAAUAUCUAAGGAUGACUUUAGAAGAUGCCGAGACACACAAGACAUAUAAUUGCAAGGUUAGAACUGCUUGCAGGAGGAAUGCUGAGAAAUCUUUGGGUGGUGAAUGGUUUGACUUCGUCAUAGACCGCGGCUUAAAAGAGAAUGACUUAUUGAAGAUGAUCAGGUCAUUUUGGAAAUGUAAUUUUAUAAUCCAUAAUGCACGAGUACUUUAAAAUCUGUGUUGCAAAGCUUUUUAGCGUAUUAACAAAUCUGUGUUUGCUUGCAAUAAUCCAUUCCUCUAUAACAAAAAAUUUCGAAAAAAGGUCAUUCAACCCGUGCGAAGCACGGGUUUGUAACUAAUUAAUUAAAAAAAUAAUAAAACUAAUUAAAUAUAGUCAUGUGACCAAAAGCAGUGUGUAGUCUGAAUUGUGAAAUGAAGAAAGGUUAGAGUAAUAAAAUAAUAAUACAUAUGCAGAAAGUGUUGAAUUCAACUCAACAACUAAUAUAACUACUAACAUUUGCCAUUAAAAAAAAAAAAUUAUGUGAUUUGAACAAUCAAAUUUAAAUAACUUUUUAAUUGAUUGACACAGUUCAAAUACAUGGUUAAUUAAUCAUGUUUAAUGAAUGAUUAAUUGAUAUACUAGAUGUGGAAACUUAUAAACCAUCAACGAAUUUCAUUAACUAUAAAUUUAGAUGUGGUAAACAAUAAUUACAUAUGUCAAAUUUACAUGCAUGUGAACACCUGAAAAUUAAGUUUAAACUAGAUUGAGACAUGUGCGUUGCGCGGCCGAAAUAAUCGGUUUUUGUGUAUCAUAUUUGAAAGUGAUAUAGUAUAUGUUGGAGAUUAAUGUUGGACUAACUCUAAGUUUUUCUUUGGUUUCUUGACAACUCAAUGAAAUGGGACAAACCAAGUAUGAAAUUAGAAUCAAUGGUUCAAAGGGCAAUAGCCUUAAAUAAUUGAAAGAAAAAGCUGAUUUUUAACCUAAACAUUUAUAGGGCAUUCAUGUUUUUAAUAAAAAUAUGACAAGACUAAAUUCUGUAAACAUAAUAAUCUUGUUAGGAAGGCUUGUGCAUGAAUUGUUUAGUCGUGGAAGUUGAACUAUGGUUCAAGCCAAUUAUUUUAAUGUUCUACUGAGUAACUGUUCUAAUAUUCCACCAAGCAGUAGUUUUAAUCAAGUUUAUAUCUUACAAUCAAUAGAAGGUCUUUUUAGUUUUUAGAAAGUAAUGGAAAGGACUUCAAACAACUUCGAAUAUUUCUUUUGUUGCUGAAUUUAAACCAUAAAAUUACUAACAAUGACUGUAUGUGCAACUUUAAUACAUUUAGAGACUAUGAAUAACGGUGCAUCACACUUUGAGUGACCAAAAUGGAUGUUUGCUGUGAAUUGUUAGGUGUCCAAGACUUCUAUCUGCAAUUAAAUUUUUAAUUUUUGAAGUAAAAGCAUAACUGUAAUCAAUUUUCAAGUAUAACUACAUUUGACUAUUAGAAAAACGAUUUUCAAGAAUAUCGAUCAAAUGCAUUGUAGUUGGAUUAUACUUUACAUAACUAUUUUCCGUUUACAGUAAUGAAGUACUAAAUUUUCAAUAAAAUACCUCAAUGGUGGAACCUCAACCGUGAAUUUUUUAAUUGGUCUUUCUCUGAAUUUUUUAUUACUAAGGACAAUUCCAAACAUUGCAUAUAUAGGACUUGCAUGUUGCAACACAUUAUUUUUGGUAUCAGAUUUUGACAAUGAGUUAAGAAUGUCUCUAAGAAAUGAGAUAUUUUUGUUUCCAUCCAACCUGCGAGAUUUUCAAAUUUUAGAGUAAUGACCCAAUUUGAUCCCUCACAAUUUUCUCGUGGUCCAAUUUAAUCCUUGCCAAAGAUUAAAUCCAAUUUAUUCAUAGGACAAAUUGGUGUUGGACUCUUUACAACAUAUAGACUAAUUUUUCAACGAAAUGAAAAUGUCGUGAAUUACUUUUGUAUUAUUUUUUGUUGAGACUAAAUUGAGCCGUGAGAAAGUUGUGAAGGAUCAAAUUAGUUCUUCAUGAGACAACAUACCAAAUAACAAAACAUAUUAAGCACAUACGAAAUGCUUGAGAAACAUUUGUUGAUAGUAGAGAUAAAAAUUCAGAAUGAUAGAAAAUUGAAGUAGAAAGAAACCUUGCAUGAUUGAGGAAGAUUGCAGAUUGUCAUGCUGCCAUUAUCAGGGCUGUCAUUGAAAUGAAAAUGCUCCUACAGGAAUAAAAAGAAUCUAAUAACUUAGUGAAGAACAAAACAAAUCUUAUAUUUGUCAUUUUAACAGGAAUUUACACCUUAACGUAUUACAAAAAUCUUGAUAAACGCACUGAAAUCUGAAGAUAUGCCUGCAUUUUUUAAUUGCUUAUGAAGUUAUUCACCUGCUCCAUCAUUUUCAUCCUGAAAGUUAAAAUCUAGAAACAAUGUGAAAGGCAAGUCAUUACUAUCAUAGAUACCAACUCUCUCAUAUCCUACAGUUAAUUGAUCUGAAAGAUUGAUCGAAUUUGAAACUGGCUUAGGCUUGCGGUAUGCCGGAGUUAUGAGGAACAGAGUUGUCGGCUAAUACAUAACCAGCUUGGAGAACAUCUUUGCUACUGUCGUCAUUGACAUUGUAGAUAUUGUGAGAUAUUCGUUAUAAACGAUGGACGCGCAAGACAUCAUUGGAUUGAGCAUUGGUUGUGGAAAAUCGCACUCAGAGGGAUAAGGAUAAAAGAAUCACAUGCAGAAGACAUACAAUAAAAAUGUAUGAGCCUAUAGAUGCAAUGGAUGUGAAAUGUUGUGUGUAAGGUGCACAACCUACAUGGCUUUUGUACGAUAGAAUUGACUAGCACUUAACUAGUCUAAGCACCCGUGCGAUGCAUGGAUAAAGUUAGCGGUUGCAACUUGCUCCUUGAAUUUGCCAGCUUCAUUCAUAGGGCAGUGAGUAUCAAAAUUUAAUUUUUCAAAAUAGAUAAAUCGUUUCUCAUUUUGCUUAUGUCUAGAGUGGAAUGUUAUUCAUAUUAUGCAUAUUUGUCCUAUGACCGUUUAGGCUUGGAAUCACUUUGUAUAUAAAAAUGGAAGCAUAUUGUUUAACGAUUAAUAUUAGUAUCGUUUAUAAUUGUUGGUAUAUUACGUGGACCUAAAAGCAUACUGAAGGUAUUAUUGACAAAACAAUCUAUACUGCAUUGUCCUCGUGAGCUUAGCUCAAUUGGUAUGGACAAUGCAUAAUAUACGCAAGGUCCGGGGUUCAAACCCCGGCCACCACAAAAGAAAAAUAGUCUAUACUGCAUUGAAUUUCAAAAAAGACUAGAAAAUAGAAACAAAUUUGUAUUACAAAAUUGACAAGUAAAAAAGAAAGAGGAAUAAAAAAAAUUACACUACAUAUCAUAUGUAAAACAUGCACUUUUCACACUUGUCAUUCAAUGCAUAGCAUUACCAACAAAAACCCUUCAUUCAUCUCCUUUGGUCACCCUUUACUGAACUGAGUCCAAAUUUAAUGCAUUCUUGAAGCUGCAGAUGGUACAAGUUUUAAUAAGAAACUCAUAAAGAAAACAAUAAAUAACAAACUAUUUAAGCAAAUGCCAGAAGAUUUUGGCUAACAACAAUAGUAAGUUCUGCUGUUCCAUUAUGUUAAGUCAGACUUAAAUUUUCAUAAAAAUAAAGAGACCCACCUUCUUGCAAAUCCAGUCUGGCGCAAUCUUUUCCAAAAUCUCGAUCUGUUCUUCAGCUUAUCCUAUUGGGAGGACAUAAUUAAUUAGCUACAUUGUUUAUUACUAAAAAAACUAUUUACUAUGCUUAAAAAAUAACCAUGCACUACAUUAUAGUAAAUAGAAUUAGAACAUACUAAUAUCAGCAUAAUCUAAAUAGUUAAUCAUUAUUACAGGAAGAAAGCUUUAUGACAAAUUCGGUAAAAUGAAUGAUAUAGUUACUUCAACUUCCUGAGUGAAAACAAUAUUAGCAUCAUUCUCUGGGUCAUUUUUUGGAUCAUUCUCUGGGUUAGUGAAUCGAAUAUCAUUCUCUGAGUUUUUAUUCUCUUUCAAUACAUGGAUUCCGCUAUACAUGAACGGGAAUCCAAAGUCAACCUCUGCAUGGUUCCACUUAUUUUCUAAUAAGACAUUCUCUGAGUUAAUCAUUGAUUUCACAUUCGAAUUGAGUUUUAAUGUGAGCGUGAAAUUGGAGAAAUAUAGAAUGAACUUGAGAUUUAUUUUGUACUGGAAAAGUCCACAGAAAAUUCGUGAAAUCAUCUAAAAAUAAUACAUAAUAAUGAUGUCCUCCUGAACUAAGAACAGGGGAUGUCCAAACAUCGCUAUGCACAAUAUCAAAAGACAUUAAAGUAUGAGACAAAGAAUUAGAAAAAGACAAUUUUAUUUGUUUCCCAAGUGGACAAGAAUGAGAAAAAAAUUUGUUCCGAAACUUAUUACAUAUAAGAAAAUUGUUUCGAUGUAGAGAAUCUAAGACUUGUGCUAUAGGGUGUCCUAAAGGGUUGUGCCAUACUUCAUUAGAUAAUGUGGCAAACGUAGAUGGUGGAUGGGCUGAAGUGUAAGGUCAGGUGGUAAGUGGGUAGAGGUCGCCGGAACUGUUACAUCUCAUUAAAGGCAUUCUUGUCUGAAAAUCAUUCACAGAGAAACCCAAGGGGUCAAAUUCAACGGAAACAUCAUUAUCAAUGGUAAAUUUUCUAACAGAGACAAGAUCUUUUAUCAAUUUAGGGGCAUGUAAAACAUUUUGUAAAUUGAAAGAGUUUGGAGAGGUAGGUAAUGAUGCAUGUCCAUAACCGAUAACGGGAAUAUUAUGACCACUACCAACAGUAAUAUUGUUGCUCGUAUUGAAAUAAGACAUAAGAUUACCUCCGUUCUCCGUCAUAUGCGAUGUAGCCCUGGUGUCCAUAUACCAUUGAUCAUCUGGAGGAGAAAUAGAGAAGGUAUGCAUAGCAGCUUGAAUGUCCGUUGGAGCAUAUGAAGAGGAUCCUUGGUGACUGGCCUGGUACGGUGUAGUGCUUGCUACAUGAGCCUCAUGAGUUGGCUUUUGACCAAGAAUACCAGCUUGCUUGUUCGAGUUUCCCGUUGUAGGGUACGGACCAAGGUUGCUGCCACGGUGGAAAAUUCCAUUGUUGAUUUUGGUUAUGAUAUGGUGGAUAAGCCCAUUGUGGUUGUUGAUGUUGGUACAAUGGUAAACCGGCUUGUAAGGUGAGGAUUGCCUCCUCUUUAUAAACUUUCAUCAAGAGUCUUAAAUCCGAUGUGGGACUUAAGUUUUUCCUAAUACACCCCCCUCACGCCCAACACUCUUUGGGCUUGGUGCGUGAAUAGGUAAGUGGCCCUUGAAUUCGACAAGCUCUGAUACCAUGUUGGAAGGAGAGGAAUAUGAUAGAGGGAUGAAUAUUGGCCGUGCCUUUUCAUUGAUAUUCGUGCUGUAUAUAUACAUCAUGUGUGCUCUAAUAAUUCUCAACAACUAAUGAAUAUCCCUAAUAAUUCUCAACAAACUAAUCAGUAAUUAUUUACAACAAUCUCUAAUAAUAUUCUUUCUAUAUUUACAUACUCUAAUAAAAACUUAUCUUCUCCUUCUUCUUCUCUAUGAAAACUCUCUAAUAUUUCUCAAUUUACUCUUCAGAUUACCGGAUCUCAUUCAAUUAUUGAGUUUUGUUACACUUUUUAAAAUAUAAAAGAAUAAAAACUAGACAUAUGAGUGCGGCGUUGUGUUGCUCCUCGUCUUAUAUGACAUUUUUUUUAUUUCAUAUCUUGUUGCGGUGUUUAUUUUGUAGAUAUUGAAAGAUCAACUUUAGUUAAUCAAUUGUAGAUUCAAUCAAUGACGUGGGCGUCAACGUUGCAGAUCCGGAAGCUAGAGUAUUCUGGUGAUUUAGAUCUUAUCAUAUUAUUUAUAGGCAUUUUGUCGUUGUAAUAUGUUAUUAACUUGGUUGUUGUGAGUUUGUUCUCAAAUUCACCCUUUACGUUUUUAGCGAUAUUGAUGAUGUUAUUGUAUCCAGGGGCGGUUUCACCGUCCGACGAUCCCGGGCGGUUGCCCGGGCUCAAUCGAUAAUUUUUGCACAUUAGACCCAACCAAAAAGUUCAUUAACACAUUUACAGAAAGAAAAAUUUGGGCAAUCUGAAAAUUCUUACACGCAAAUAGGUCUCGGAAUUUUAUUUAGCACACUAGUGCCGGAUUCAUCUCUCUUAUUUUAACAGGUUAAUUGUUCAAAUUGACCCUGUAAUAUACUUUAUGUCUGAAAAAUGACCCAAUAAAAUAUAAAACAUAUAUUCUAGCAUUGUAACUUGAAUUUCUUCUUAUUUUUUACCACCCUAUAAUAUAUGUGUAGUCUAAAAAUGUGACCUACAGGUUGAAUUUUUUCACUAUUUUUUUCAUACAUGUUUAGCACGUUAAAAUAUAGCUUUACACAAAAAAAUUAAAUUUCUUCGACUAGGGAUAAAUUAAUUAUGAAUUUUUAUUCACUCAUAAUUAUGAAUUUCUUAAACUAACUUAUAAUUAAUUUGUAUCUCGUUUAAAAACUACAAAAUUUCAUUGUGAAUGUUCUUAUCAUGUUCCAAUCAUGCCUACAAAAUUAGGGAAUUAAAUUUGACUUGUGAGUAUACACUUACGCGGAACAAAAUUUCAAUUUUGCAUGUUUUGGUUGAAAAAUCAAAAUAAAUAAACGACUUCGAAAUGCUAUGAAACUUUACAGAUUCUUUUUAUGUAUUUUUAUAGAUGUCUCUGCAAAUAAUGAGCUCAAAAUUCGAUUUAUAGGUCGAGAUUGCCGUUGUUUUGUUUUUUGAGCUUUUGACACUUUAAAAAUUCACAAUUAGUUUGUCGUUUGUCUAAAAUUUAUAAUUUUUUUGUGUAAAGCCAUAACUCGCCUCUAAGAAAUCAUGAAAAAAAUUCAAUCUCUCGGUUGUUUUUUUGGACUUCUCGUAUACUACAGGUUAUAAAUAAUAAAAAUCCUGAAUUAUAUGGUCAGAAUACAUGUGAUUUAAUUUACAAGGUCAAUUUUCAGACUUCACGUAUAUUACAUGGUCAAUCUCAAUUAAUAACCCUAUUUUAAAUUGUACUUUUGUUGACAAAAUGAUAAACCUCUUUUAUUUCGAUUUUUUUGAGGAAAAAAAAAUUAAAAAAAAAUUUGAUUUAUGACUGUUUAUAUAUUGUCACAUGUGAAGUUGCAAUAAAUUUUUCGCCCGGGCUCCAUAAAUUUCCUGGCUCCGCCACUGAUUGUAUCUGAUGUAUUCUAUCAAUUUGAAUGAAUGAAUAUUGUUUUGCCUUUGUCAAAAUAAAAAACUACACAUAUGUAUGUACGUGUUUGUUACAUAUUUUUAAUAUUUAAAUUUAUUAUUAUCUAUUUGUUAUAUAUGUGUUAUUUGAAUUAAAAGAGAAAAAGACAGCUUAAAAGAGCUGAAAGGAUUAUUUUCUUUAUAUAAUAAUAAUAAUAAUAAUAAUAAUAAUAAUAAUAAUAAUAAUAAUAAUAAAUAAAAGUUAUUUAUAGUUUCUAUAUUUUUUGACAAGUUUAAAAUUUGGCUUAAUUGCUAUUUUAGUCCCUUAACUAAUUAUUUGGUAUCGGUUUGGUCCCAUAACUAAAAAAAAGUCCGUUUUGGUAUUUUAACUUUUGUUCCGUUACAUGUUUUGGUCCCAUCUGUUACUUUUAAUUCAAUUCCGUCAAGUGUGAGCAUAGGUGGCAUUUAAGGGCUGACUUGGCAUACAUUUAGAUGAUGAGAUGGCAUAAGUAACACUUUUAGGACAUUUUAGAGAGAUAAUAAUCAUCUAGAGAGAGAAGUAGAAGAAGAAACGUUUUGCUUUGGCUGAGUUUUCACGCGAAGAAGAAGAAGACGAAAUCGAAGGAACACAAUCUCGCCGACGACAUCAGGUUUGUUUUUUUUCUUCUUCAUCUGUUAUUUGUUUCAUCGAUGGGUUAAAUUUUUUUGGCUUCAAUGUUACUAUUUUUGGGUUAGGGUUUAUGAAAAGUGGUUUCUGGUUUUAGGGCGUUUUGUUUCUGGUUUAUGGUUUUAGGGUUUAAUGUUGGUAUAGGGUUUCAAUAAAUGCAAAUUUUAAACCUUUGUUGUGUAUUGUUGUUGUUUUAGGGUUUUUUGUGAAUAUUAAAUUGAAGUGGUCCAGGUUUUUUUGAUAUUCGUGUAUGUUUGUUUAUUAGGAUUCGUGGGUGAGUGUUCAUGGAGGAUAAGUUCGCGGUGGUCUGUCACUAUGGUGGUGCUUUUGAUGGUUUCAACCAUAAUGGAUAUUAUGGUCUUGAGAGCACUUGGUUAUGUGAUCCAGAUUACUGGAGCUACUUUGAUAUCAUAGGUAAUCUAGAUGUUUUAGGUUAUAAGGAAGAAGCUAUUGAAUCUAUCUGGUUUUAUGAACCAUACAUGGCUGAUGAAAUGGUGCUAUUGGAUAAUGAUAAUCGUGCAAGGAGGGUUAAAGCUAUAGCACACAGUGAUGGACAAGCACAUAUCUAUAUUGUUCACAAAAUAUCACAACCAGAUAUUGUUGAGAUGAUAGAGUAUUAUGGUUUAGGUGAAUACAAUAUGACUGGUGAGGAUGGUCCUAGUGAUAAUGCAGGUCCCACUGUUGAUGAAGCUUCAAAUGAUGUGGCAGAGGCUAAUGUAGGGGUGGGGCCCACUGAAGUUGAAGAUGAAGUAGAAAAAGCUGGUGAUGAUGUUGGGGAAAGUGGGCCAUCUGUUGGUGAAGAAGUAACUGGACCGGAUGUGAGUGAAAAUCAAUUUGGGCCAACUGUUGGUGAAGAGGAAAGUGGGCAAGAUGUGGGUGAAAAAGUAUUAGAAAAGGAAGUUGGGGUAGGGGAUAAUGUAGAGGUGGAGCCCACUAAAGUUGAAAGAGAAAAUGAAACAUUUGGGCCCACUGUUGUUGAAGUGGAAGUAGAAAAAGCUGGUGAUGAUGUUGGGGGAAGUGGGCCAUCUGUUGGUGAAGAAGUAAUUGGGCCAGAUGUGAGUGAAAAUGUAUUAGAACCAACUGUUGGUGAAGAGGGAAGUGGGCAAGAUGUGGGUGAAAAUGUAUUAGAAAAGGAAGUUUUUGGUGUUGGUAAGAAAAAUGACAAAGUUACUAGUGUUGGUAAGAAAAAUGACAAAGGUAAGGAGCCUGCUGUAGAGGAAGAAGAUGAAAUUUGUUUUGAGUUAUAUGAGGAUAGUGAUGUUGAGAGUGUUCAAGAUGUACGUUUUGUUGAUGAAGACAUGGAAUGCAUGCUUAAUGACUGCUUUGGUUAUGGUGAGGGAGUUAAUGAUGAUGAGGGAGGUUAUGGUGAUGAGAGAGGUAAUGAUAAUGAGGGAGCCAAUCAUGUUGACAACAACGUUUCAGCAGGUAUGUUACAAACCCCCCCCCCCCCCCCCCCUAAUGCAGAAAAUAAUAUUAUAAAGAAGUCCCUCUGUUUAUAUGUUGUUAAUGUAUGAUGUUUAUGCAGGGAAUAAUGAUGUUGAGGAACAUGCUACAGAACCACCAAGGAAGAAGAGGGGUAGACCAAGGAAGCAGCCUGUUGAUCCAGUUGCUACUGAUGGAGCAGAAAAAUUUGUGCCUGAAGCUAAUCAAAAUGAGAGUAGUAGUGGUACUGAUGAUGAACUGAUUAUUGAGGAAGGGUCUGGUCAGGCAAAUAUGGUAGAAGAUAAAGGUUUCGAAGAUGCUGAGGAGUAUAAUUCUGAAGAGCUUGAUAGUGGAAGUGACAGUGAUGGGGAAUGUGAAUUUCAAGGCAAGUUUCCUACAUUCAAACAACCAAAGAAGAUGUUAGAUUAUAAGUGGGAGGUAGGUACAUAUUUUGGUACCAAAUCAGAAUUUCAACAUGCUAUGAGGACAUAUGCAAUUCAUUCUGGUAGGGAAAUCAAGUUUGUGAAGAAUGACAAAUUGAGGAUGAGGUUGGAAUGCAGAGGCAGAGGCAACUGUGAAUGGAAGGCUUUCUGUGCCAAAAUACGAAAUGAGGCAACUUGGCAGCUGAGGCAAGUUGGUCCUAACCAUACAUGUAGUAGGGGUAACAAGGUGAAAUUUCUGAAUUCUAAGUGGCUUGGUACAAAACUUCAGCCUAAUGUGAGGGAAAACCCAACUGUGAAAAUCCAAGACAUCAUCAACAAGAGUAAUGAGAAGUGGAAUAUCAAAGUGACAAAGACAAAGGCCAUCAGAGCUAGAUCAUUGGCUUUUGAUGCUGUUGAUGGCUCUUUUAGGGAGCAGUAUACUAGGAUGCAUGACUAUUGUCAUGAGUUGCUGAGAUCAAAUCCACAUUCUACAGUGAAGAUAACUAGUACACCAUAUCUACCUUCUGAAGAUGAUUUACAAGAUCCUACUGCUAAUCUAAAUCCUCACUUUCAAAGAGUAUACAUAUGCUUCAAGGCAUGUAAAGAUAGUUUCCUAAAGUGCAGACCUAUCAUUGGCUUGGAUGGAUGCUUCCUGAAAGGUUACUAUGGUGGUCAACUUUUAACAGCAAUUGAAACAGAUCCAAAUGAUCAAAUACUCCCUAUUGCUUAUGCUGUUGUUGAAGGAGAGACAAAAGAAACAUGGGCUUGGUUUUUAGAUUUGCUUGUGAAUGACUUGGGUGGUGUGGCAAAAUGUGCUGAAUAUACAUUCAUAAGUGACCAACAAAAGGUAUGCUAUAUUAAUUUCUUGUAAACAUAUGGAUGUUAUGCUGAAUAUGUGUGUUAUAUUGAAAAUGUGUAUACUGAAUAUGUGCUAUGUUGUCUAUGUUAUAUUUAGGGACUGUUGCCAGCAAUGGAUGAAUUGCUGAAAGAUGUUGACCACAGAUUCUGUGUUAGGCAUCUGUACAAUAACUUCAGAAAACAAUACCCUGGAAAGAAACUAAAGGAACUGAUGUGGAAGGCAGCCACAUCAACAUAUCCAAAUGCAUGGAUGGAUGCUAUGAAGGAGAUCAAGGCAAUCAAUCCAGAGGCAUUCAAGCAUUUGAUUCAAAUACCACCUAGAAGAUGGAGCAGAUCAUAUUUCAGGGUUGUACCAAAGUGUGACACUUUGGUCAACAACAUGUCAGAGUCUUUCAACUCUGUCAUUGUUGGCCCUAGAUCAAAACCAGUGAUCACUAUGCUUGAGGAGAUCAGAAUUUAUAUCAUGGAAAGGUGGGAGAAAAAUAGACACAAAAUUCAGAUAUAUCCAGAUAGUGUUUUGCCCAACAUCAAGAAAAAGCUUGAAAGAGAGGCUGCUUAUACAAACAAAUGGCUUACAAGGUAUGAUUGUUGGUACUUUUUAUUGAUUAAAUAGUAUUAAGUUGGUCCUUUAUAUAGAUUAUAAAGUAUUAAGUUGGUCCCUUAACUUUCUUAUAUAGUAUUAAGUUGGUCCCUUAACUUUCGUAUAUAGUAUCAUUUUGGUCCCUUAACUUUCUUAUAUAGUAUCAUUUAGGUCCUUCUUAAUUUCUGUUUUAAACCAUUCUGUAACAAGUGCAUGGUCCACUUUUGUCAUUUUGUAUGUGUGAAACAGGCGUUGUGGUGAAGACUUUUUUGAGGUUUGGCACAUUUCUCCAUCUAGGGAACAAUUUUCUGUCAAUCUUGGAACAAGAGACUGCUCUUGUAGGAAGUGGUUGUUGACUGGGCUACCAUGUGUACAUGGUAUUUGCUGUAUCAGGUAUAUGGAACUUGAUAUGUAUGAAUUUGUUCCUGAUGAAUAUAGGAGAGAAAGGUAUGAAGCAUGCUAUGCACAUAUGAUAUUCCCUGUUAAUGGUAGAUCUCUAUGGCAAAGAACUGCUUACACUGACCUGCAACCCCCACCUAUUAGAAGACAACCAGGUAGGCCCAAGAAAAAGAGAACUAAGGACCCAUCUGAAAUGCUGAGAGAUGAUUCACAAAUGAAGAGAGCAAGGUAUGGAAUUAAGUGUAGUAGAUGUAAGUCAGUUGGCCACAAUAAAUCAACAUGCAAGCUGCCUCCACCACCUGCUGAAACCCAAGCCACUGAUAACCCAUCUACAAAUCAACCUCAGCCAACUGAUAAUGCUACUACUAUCACUCAACCACCUGUACCAACCCAAAACCAAUCAACUACUUCCGCCACCACUACCAAUACUGUCAUUCAACAACCACAUGCACCAACCCAUAACCAAUCAACUACUUCCACCAACACCACUUGUAGUCAACCACCUUUUACUCAAACAUUUUCUACUCAAGAUUCCACAAAUGCACAGACUUCAGCUAAGCCCAAAUCUCAAGCAAACAAGAAGCAAGGUGGUGCUUCCAAGGCUAAUUCUGCUGCAACUGCGCCAAAUGCUUCCAAGAAACUAGCUGCUACUUCCAAGACUAAAGCUACUGCAACUAAUGUAGCAGCAACCUCCAAAAGGGGUCCAAACACCACAAGACAGAAGUUGCCAUUCAAAAGGGGUCAAACAAGUGCAACACAACCACCCUCCAAAUGAAGAAUCUGUCAUAUUAUUAAUUAGUUUUUAUUUUGGUCCUUUAUUAAGUUGAUGCUUAUGUAAUGAGAACCUAUGGCUUUAGUUUGUAUGCCUUUUUUGAGUUUGGUCUCAUUUUGAUGAUGACAGAAAAUGUAAGAGAACCUAUGGUUUUAAACCUUUUUGAUAUGGUCUCGCAUUUAUCAUUCAUGACUUAUGUAAUUGAGAACAUCUUGAGUUUGUCUCAAUCUUAUAAUUAAUCCAUGUGACAAAAAAUGUAAGAGAACCUAUGGUUUUACACCUUUUUGAUAUGGUCUCGCCUUUAUCAUUCAUGACUUAUGUAAUUGAGAACAUCUUCAGUUUGUCUCAAUCUUAUAAUUAAUCUAUGCGACUUAUUUACAAUUGUGUAUUGUUUAUAGUUGGAACCCUUUAUGUGUUUUAUCAUCACUUAUGUGUAAUUGACAACCUUUUGAUUUGGUCUCAUCAAUUUAUCAGGUUUAGUAGCUAAAAUACAUUACUGUAUUAUGUUUCCCAAAUUAACCAUUGCAUUGUAAAAUUAGGAUAAACAUUACAUCAGAUCUUUUCACAUUAUAUCAACAACAUACUUAAAUUACUUUAAAUACAUUCAACAUUCUACUAACACAUAACUAAGCUACACUUUAAAUACAUUGACAACAUCAUACUAAUCCAUCAACAUCAUACUAAUCCUUCAACAUUCUACUAACACAUAACUAAGCUACACUUUAAAUACAUUGAAAACAUCAUACUAAUCCAUAAACAUCAUAGUAAUCCUUCAACAUUAUACUAACAAAAACUUAAACUACUUUAGGUACAUUGAAAAAAUCAUUGUCAUUAACACAAUGUUAAACCCAAAACAUAAAAACCCAAACAUUAUUGCAAUCUUGGACCACCUCCUACUAUUACACAACUCUUCUUUUAGGAAACAAACUUCAUGCUUCAACUUCCCAUUUUUCUUCUUUAGCCUAGCAAUCUUCAUAUCACGUUCAUCAACAUCACCAUUAUCAUCAUCAGAAAGAAAUUGAAAAUAGUUGCAGCCACUAUCAGAUCGGUUCCUCCAAUUUCUACAUCCCCAAAACUUCUUUCCAUAAUUAGGGUUUCUCAUGUCAGUAACAGUUUUCAUAACUAAAAACUCACCACAUUGACAUUUUCGAAUCUGUCCCUUAAACCCAGAACCUACAGAUCCAGAGAUGGCCCUUCCAUUUUCGUUGUUGCUGUUGCUUCUGCGGUUAACAUGAGAACCUGCACUGGACAUGUUAUCGAAAACGGAAAAGAGAAGAAGAAGAGUAGAUGAAGAGAAGAUGAAGAAGGAUGUGAAUCUGAUAAAGAAGAAGAACAAACCCUAAUUUUUGGGGAAAAAUUAGAAAGGAAAAAGAAAACAACAAUAAAGAAAAGAACCUUAUAUAUUGAUGAGUCAUAUAUUGCCAAGUCAGCCCUUAAAUGCCACCUAUGCUCACACUUGACGGAAUUGAAUUAAAAGUAACAGAUGGGACCAAAACAUGUAACGGAACAAAAGUUAAAAUACCAAAACGGACUUUUUUUUAGUUAUGGGACCAAACCGAUACCAAAUAAUUAGUUAAGGGACUAAAAUAGCAAUUAAGCCUUAAAAUUUUAAUAUGUGAAAGAUAAUUAUAAUUAUUAUAAUUUCUAUAUAUUCCUAAUACAGAAAAAAUAAAAAUUGCCUACAAAAGUUUUAGAAUCGGAUGGACCCAUGCUAGCUCAAUAAAUACAUACAAUUUAUAAAAUAUAAGUACUGCAAAUAUAGAGCCGGCUAGACCGACGCUAUUGUUUUUAAUAAAACAAAAAUUCAGAUAUGUAACACUGAGUAGGCCUGGCCGAUGCUAAACCGACGCUAUUAGCGUCGGUGUUGGGCACCGAAGCUAAACUCUGACUCUAAAAAGCUGUUUUCUUGUAUUGUUGGUUCGUCCUUAGAAUCCAUUGCAUCCAACAAUACCUCAUUUGUAUCUAUCUGAUCUCAAGUUGUAUUCUCCAUUUUUCUUUUGACAAAUGAAACUGAUCUAGACCCUAAUGGGUCGAUUGGUGUGUUUAGAAAAUUAGAGGAGGUUCUUUUUUUUUUUUUUUUUUUUUUAUGGUUAGGUGAGAGGUGCUUUAAGAAAAUUUCAAAGGAGUUUAGUGUAAUUUUUCCUUUAAUCAUUAACGUUAGUUCUAUCAUUAAUUUUUUUUUUCUUAUGUUUUCAAAGCAGAUAAGAUUGCAAUGCUCUUUAACACAUAACCUCCAGUUCAACGCGCAGCUCCUGCGGAGUACUAGCCCCAUGCUUAGCAGGUGUUUGUUGGUAGCAGAGUUGAAAAAAUAUUGUAACAAGUCCUUGUAAGAAAUUCUAUUCCACGAUAAUAAAGGAAAUCAAGAUAACUCAACCCAAAGAAACGUAAAACAUAGUACUACUAUAUAAAAUAUAAAAUGUAAAACUAAAAGCUUGUAAGUAAAAUUCAGUCCAAUAAUAGAAGGAAAACUUAAAGCAUGAUAUAAAGACUGAAUUGAUGUUACUCAAAAUUGUACUACAUAUAUAAUAUAAUGAGUGACAAGAAGUUUUCACACUUGGCUGUGUGUAUGGUGUUCUAAUCUCUAUUACUUUUCUUACACAAAACAAUGAGGGCAAAAAACGAAACAACCCUUGCUAUGCACAACUUUUCUUACACAACAAUGAGUGCAAAAAACAAGCAUUUGCAAUACCACAAUUAACAUUCAUUAUCCCAUUCAACAAAAACCCUUCACUCAUCUCCUUUGGUCAUGGUCACAUUAUAGAACAGCCUUGAUCGAACCGAAUCCAAAUCCAACGUAUUCUUAAUGCUGCAAAUGUUACGGCUGGAAUUUCAUGUUAAGCCUGAAUCAAAUUUUCACAUCCCUAAAAGAGACUGAUACUCUAAAAGUGCGAAGGUUUAAUCAUAAAAACAAAGAGACCCACAAGAAACCAUUUUCUUGCUAAGCCAGUCUGGCACAAUCUUUUUCAAAAUCUCAACAUGUUCUACAGCUAGAUUGGGAGGAAUAAGAUUAGUUAGCUAAAUUGUUUAUUACUAAGAAAUAGUGAGAAUCAUAAUAAAAUAGAAUUAGAACAUACCAAAUCUAGAGUUAAUCACACCAAUGAUGAAAGAUUGUUAUCCGAUUCAUCCAAACCACUUUGAUCUACAUUGGUUUCCUCAAAGGAAUGACUAAGAAACCAAUCAACAAGAAAGCAAUUACUUAAAUGAGAGAAGAAAUUGCUUUUAGAAUAAAAAUUUCUUUUGAAAGGUACAAAAUAAAAUAAUAAGUGAAUCAAAAGAAUCAAAAGAUGGCAGGUAUACCUCCUGAGGUAAGGAAAAAGAAUCAAAAGAUUUGCAGUCCUAAAAGCAUCCUCUGCUAGGUUUAGAUGUAUGUCUGCUCUAUUGUCCAAAUCAUCGCUGCCUUCUGUGAGUGAAAAGUCUAGCACUCUUUUUGCAGGCGUAGAUUUUUGCACAUUUUGCACAGUGUCCUAAAAGCAUCCUCUGCUAGGUUUAGAUAUAUGUCUGCUCUAUUGUCCAAAUCACCGCUGCCUUCUGUGAGUGAAAAGUCUAGCACUCUUUUUGCAGGCGUAGAUUUUUGCACAUUUUGCACAGUGUCCUAAAAGCAUCCUCUACUAGGUUUAGAUAUAUGUCUGCUCUAUUGUCCAAAUCAUCGCUGCCUUCUGUGAGUGAAAAGUCUAGCACUCUUUUUGCAGGCGUAGAUUUUUGCACAUUUUGCGAAGUCUUGUUCAAGAGAAAGAUUUUUGCACAGUCAUUUUCUGAAGCUUAACAUAAGAACCGAACAACAACUGACCGUGCAGGCGUGUGUCAACAAACUGUCAGUACAAGAGACAAUUUUCAAAUCAGGGCUUUCCGAACUAAUAUCAUCAGGUUGAAAGGACAUUGACAAUGAUUCCUUCCGGUUGCCUCUUUCUCCAUUAAGAUUACUCACAUAAUUAAACAAUGGUGUGAACUCUCUCUGCCUUGUGCUUCACUUUCUUGGUUGUCUAGGAAGAUGGACUUAAAUGAUGAAAAGCACUGAAUUUGCUCAGUCUCGUUAGCCGCAUUGUUCUGAGAAAAGUGUCUUCUAAAAGAUGGACUCAAAUGCAAGUUGUUCAUCAACGGUUCAGUUUCAUCGGAAGUUGAUGAAAGUUCUGUUGACAAGUUAAUGGGCUCUGGUGGUAGCAUGGCAUGUGGAAGAUCAGUAACCUUAUCAAUAAUGAAAAGAAAAAAAAUAAAUUAGAGUAAUGAACUCAAUUCUUUCGCACAAGUCAGUAUUUCAAAUUUGUCUGCUUAACUAAGAACAACAAAAAGAAAUAUACUUCCUCUAAUGUAAGCAAGCCAAUAAAAUUUUGUGCAUUAACGAUCUUUUCAAUAACCAUCCCUUCUCUAAUUUUAACCUUCUUCCACUUUAUUUUUGUGACACCCAAGACAAACAUUAUAGCAUGUUUGGAAUACCUUAGUAGAACUUUUUCACUCACAUCAGUUUUAUGAGACUGUUUGGGAGAACUUACGAAAACAGCUUAUGCAUAUUUUCAUAGAAUGUUUUCAACUUAUUUUUAUAAGUUCUCCAAUAUAGUUUAUAAAAAGGAAAUGAAACGUUAUUUUAUCUUUUGUUACUAAAAUAGCUUAUGCAAGCUAAUACAUAAGCGCUUAUCAUGAUAAGCGCUUGUGCUAUCACCUGAAACAAAGUGGUUUUUCCAAACAGACCCAUAUCCUGUUACCAGAAAGAUGUGUAUCCUUGAGAAGAUAAUUUUUAUGAUGCGUGUGCAGUUGGUAGAAUUCUAAAUUUAAUAAACAGGUCUAACUCUUUAAUAUUAGCCACCACCAAACAGAAAUGUUUUCAAAAAGUAAAUGGAGCCUAGAAAUAUUAAAUUUCCCGACAAGAGACUAUCUCUCUAAAUUUACUGCAAAACUCAAAUCUACCGUAAACAGAAAGGGUUAAAUCUCUUUUUAAAGAUACAAUCAACAUGAAUCUGUUGUGAAUUCGAUGAAAAAUCACACCAAUAACAACUUGAUGUGUGGAGCAAGGGAUAAUCAAGCAACCAAAACAAAGCGUAUGGAACAAUUAAAUACGAGCCAAAAAGUAGAAAACAACUGCGAGAAGAACAAAAGAAGAAGAAGAACACAAAGGAAUUUGUUGACCCAGUUCGGUCCAAUCUGACCUAGUCUGGGGGAGAGAGCAGCCCUCCGAUCCACUAUUUGAUGAGUAACGUUACAAAGAGAAAUCAAUGGGUUACAAGAAUAAGUCUUCCGCCUAAUUCUACCUAAAGUCCCAAUCUCUUUCCGUAACCAAGAGACUCCAAUCCUAAUAGUGUUUCUCUCUAUCUCAAUCUCUACUCUCUCUCUCUCUCUCUCUCUCUCUCUCUCUCUCUCUCUCUCUCUCUCUCUCUCUCUCUCUCUCUCUCUCUCUCUCUCUCAGAGUUUGCUUUGAUACAAGGUCUAUAUUUAUAGUAAAAGUCCUGCUUAAAAUCUAUAACAAAUCUGCCUUAAAUUUGUAACAAAUCUGUAACAAAAACUGUAACAAAUCUGCUCCCAAAAAUAUGUUUUAUUUUUAUCCGCCAGCGCACCAUCGUGCCACGAUGCGACCCCAUCGUGCCACGAUUUUUCCAGUGCCUUGCCCAAAAAACUAAAACCUCCAUCGUGCCGCGAAGCCCAGCCGUCGUGCCACGAUUGUGCAGAAACCUGAUUUUAAGUUAACUCUCACAGAAUCAUUGUACAUUGUAAUAAAUGGCAUCAUGAAAUAUUAAUCUAAAAAAUACAAACUGUUAAAAGCUUCCUAUUUGCAGGAGUUCUUAACGAAAUAUAUAUAUAUAUAUAUAUAUAUAUAUAUUGAAGGGAUUCUUAAGAAAUAUCAAUCUCAAAAAAAUACUAGCAUGGUUUUGCUUGGUUUUCCGAAAAGAGUAAGCAAAGCAUUCACCAUUCUCUUUUGAAAGAGCUCUAGUAAUCAAUAUUAGAGGAAGAAAAGUUUAUGACAAUUUGGGUCAAAUGAAUGAUAUACUUACUUCACCCCGAGUGAUUACAAUGUUAGCAUCAUUCUCUGGAUUGGUGAAUCGAAUAUCCUUCAAGUUAAUUUUCUCUUUCAAUACAUGGAUUCCACUUUUAAGGAAUUUGAAUCCAAAGAGAACCUCCGCAUGGUUCCACUUAUUUUCUGAAAGUGCUUUGUCCAUAUUAUCAUUGAAGUUUUCCAUUUGCAUAUGAAAAAGAUGCAAAUGAUAUGUAUCUGCAUGUGAUUUGGCACCAAUCUUCGAACCAUGUGUAUAAAAAAAUGUAUCUCCGUUGAUGAUCACUCUUAAUGGAGAACCAUCCCAUGUAAAUGGAGAAAGAACAUAGAGAGCUAUGACAGGAAACUUGUUACGAAACCAAAAAGAAAUAUAUGUUCCUGCCAUACAAUGGUGAUCAAACCACUCUGGAAAUGUUGCUUGUGGCAAACGAAACCAUGUUUUUCCAGCCUCAUGUAAUUCCUGUUAGUCAUAAACAAUUAAUAUAAGUUUAACUAUAUCAAGAAGAAUAUAAAAUACAUUACAAAUAAAAAAGAAAAUAAAUCAUAACCUGAUUUAGCAAUUUGCUCUUGCACGACGAAGUCAACGACUUGCAGUUUAGUGCAGAUAACAUUCUUAAGCAUGGAGGAAUCCCUUUAAUUUCUUUAAGUGCCGUACAAUCAUCCAAGAUGAGUUUCCACAAAAAUUGACAAUUUUCAAUAGAUUUAGGAAUAACUGUGAAAUGAUUACUAGUUAAGUGUAAUUCUUUCACAUUAGCAAACAACAUAAGACUUUUUGACAGAUAUUCCUCUGAACGAUAGCCGACGUGCCUGACACAAAUAUACUUUACAUGUGAAGAUUGAAUUGCAUUCACUUUUUCUUCAUUCCUAAUGGUAAAUUUAGCCAAUGUUGACAUCCUAUUUGGUAAGUAAACAUAUCCACAGUCACAUAAUGUCUGAGGCUGAGUAAGAGUUUUAAAGGGAAAUGGAAUUUCUUUUAUGGGAGUAUCAUCCUUAAGGAGUCCUGGUAUAUUUCUCAUUUCCCCCAAUAUUUCUGGAAAACUCUCGAGACUAUAACAACAUGAAAGAUUGAAAUAUUCCAAUGAAGUCAACCUGAGCCGUGGGAUAUUCCUAAGCAUGAUGCAACAUUCAAUAUUCAAAAAUUUAAGUUUAUCCAACAACCCAUCCACCACACAUGGAAAACUCUCAAGACUACAGCAACAUGAAAGGUCAAGUUUCUCUAAAGAAUCCAGCUUGAGAGGUGGGAUACUCUUGAGAUUGUAACACUUUCUAACAAGCAGGGUUUUAAGUUUUCCAAGAAACCCGUCCACCACAGGUGGAAAGCUCUCGAGCCUAUGACAUGAUGAAAAGUCAAGGGUUUCCAGUGAAUUCAACUUGAGAGGUGGAAUACUCUUGAGAUUGUGACACUUUGCAAAACACAAGGUCUUAAGUUUUCCAAGAAACUCGUCCACCACAGAUGGAAAAUUCUCAAGAUUAUAACAAUGUGAAAGGUUAAGAUAUAUUAGCGAAUCCAACUUGAGAGGUUGAAUACUCUUGAGAUUGUGACAACUUUCAACAUUCAGGGUUUUAAGUUUUCCAAGAAACGCAUCCACCACAAGUGGGAAAUUCUCAAGACUAUAACAUUGCGAAAGGUCAAGUGUUUCUAGAGAAUUCAACUUGAGAGGUGGAAUACUCGUUAGUUUGCAGCAACCUUUAACAUUCAAGGUUUUAAGUUUUCCAAGAAACGCAUCUACCACAAGUGGAAAAUUCUCAAGACUAUAACACUGCGAAAGGUCAAGUGUUUCUAGAGAAUUCAACUUGAGAGGUGGAAUACUCCUUAGCAUUUUGCAAUAUAUAACAUUCAUGGUUUUUAGCUUAUCACCAAAUCCAUCUAACACAGGUGGAAAACUCUCAAGGCUAUUGCAUCCUGAAAGAUGGAGUUCUACUAGAGAAGCUAACAUGAGAGGUGGAAUACUCUGGAUUUCAAUGCAAUUUAUAAGUCUCAAGAUUUUAAGUUUACCUAGAAAACCAACCGAUUUAUCAAUUGCAAUUAGUUUCCAACAAUUUUUAAUUGAAAGUUUUUCUAAAUUUGAGAGACCAGAUAUAUUAGGUAUUUGUACUAAACCACUGCCACCUUCGAGAUUCAAAACUCUCAUAUUCUGAAAAUUCUGCACAAAAAAAUGGAGAUAGAAAAAAAUGCAAAUAAAUAAAAAAUAUAUGAAUAAUUAGUGUUUUGAGUUAUUAAUAUAAGAUCAGAGAUCACUUGCCUUUGUGGGAAAGUUCAACAAAGAAAGAGCGACAAGGAAAUCUGAUGAAGGAUUGUGACAUUCCAGCACUCUGAGACUAUUUGGAAGAUGUUUGGGACUUUUUUUAAAAAAAACAUAAUCAGAAAAAAUUAGUGUUUUGAGAUUUUCCAUCUUCUUGAAAGCUUCUCCAUCCCAUGCUACUGUAGUCCAACAAUCAAAACGUAUGAUUUCAAUUUGACUUGUUCCCUAUGAAAAAAAAAAGUUCAAAUCAACCGAAUAUUUUAUUUUAAUAGAAUAUAUGUUAAAACUUUAUACCACGUAUAUGUUAGAACUUUAUCUUGUCAAAACAAAAAACCUUCUUUCAAAAAAAAAAAGUUACAACUUUAUACCACAUAUUUAAAGAUCUUGAAUUAUUAUUUUUUUUAAGGAAAGAUCUUGAAAUAUUAUUAAGAGUUUAGUUUUAUAUAAAUUGUUUUUCUAAAGAAUUUAUAUAAAUUGUUAGUGUGAUUCUUCAAAAAUAAAUUGUUAGUGUGAGAAAGUUAUGCAAAUUCCCUAAAAAAAAAAUAGGGUUAAUUAAGGUUUUAGUCCUUAUAAUAAAUAUUCAUAAUUUUGUUUUUAGUCCCUCUGAAAUUUUCACUAAGCAUUUUAGCGACAAAAAAUGUUGAUGGAAAUUUUUGACAGGGACUAAAAAUGUUGAUGGAAAAAUUUUAUAGGGACUAAAAAUGUUGAUGGAAAAUUUUAUACGGACUAAAAAGUGUGACUUUAUUUUGUAGGGACUAAAAACAAAAUUCCGAAUAUUUACAGGGACCAUUUACUUAAUUAACCCAAAAAAUUAUACACAUGCAUAUUAUGAUGUGUUAGCACAUGAGAUAAUGAUAUGUUAAGUUAAGUAUUGUUAAUUAAUUAAAUAAUGUAACAAUAUAUCAUUAAUUAUAUGUAAUGUAUGUCUAAAAAAAAUUACACUCACGGUACAUAUAAAUUGAACUCAAACAAAAAGUAAACAAAAUUGAUAUUAUGCAAAUUAAUAUUUUUUUAAAAAGUCAAAAUGAAUUAUAUCAAAUCAAUAAUGCAAAAAACCAAAAGGUAACUUAGCAUGAGCUACGGUAAUCAAAGUUAAUGGUGGAAUGCCAAAUUAUCCAUAACAUUAUUACUCACUGUAUUUUCUUCUAAAACUUGCAUUAUAUCAUUAGAAAACCAUAAUCUAGUGCGUUUUCCAGGAUCUUGAGGCGAUUCUUGUCUAACAAUUUCUUUACCCAUAUCCUCUACCAAAUCAUGCAAUGUCACAUUACCAAACUCAUUUAUUUUUAUGAGAGAUUUUUCCACUAACACAUUAAUGUGAUCUUUCACGAUUUCACCAUGAUGGGCAUGAAGUAUUUCAUCGACCCUUGUUAAUUUGCAUCCUUUAAAGCAACAAGCAAUGUCAAGAAAAACAAACUUCUCUUCGUCUUCCAAAGCAUCAAAGCUAAUUUGUAGUGUUGUUUGGAUCUUUUUAUGAGGAACUUUUUCAUAACGAUCUAGUGCAUCUUUACAUUGUUCUAUUGUCUUAUUAGAAAAGUGAGAACCCAUGACUUCUAAAGCAAGUGGAUGACCAGAAGCAUAUGCUACGACACGUUCUAUAACAUGCAAUUGUGCUAAUGAAACAUUUUCAUCGCUUGGACUAAAUUCAUCUUUAAAAGCUUUCCAUCUAACCAACUCAAAAGCAUCUUUGGCAUUCAACCCUCUCACCUCAUAUGUAUGUUCAACCCCAUGACAUGUUAGCAACUUUUUAUCCCGAGUUGUGAUGAUGAUUCGACUUGAGGGACCAAACCAUUUGUGUUUUCCGGCCAGAGCUUUUAAUUGUUCUUGCUCGUUAACAUCGUCUAGAAUCAAAAGUAACUUCUUUUGUCGGAGCCUCUGCUCCAAUAUUGAAAUUCCUUGUCGAACACCGGUUAAGGCAUUUUUCUCCCCAACUACUUUGGAAAGAAUGAUGUUUUGGAGAUAUGGUAACCCAUGUUUUUCAUGAUUUUCCCUAACAUUUUCAAGAAAACAUGAAGCAUCAAAUUCAUGGGCAAUCAAAUUAUAAACAGAUAGAGCAAGAGUUGUUUUCCCAAUUCCACCCAUCCCAUGGAUCCCUACCAUGUGGACUGUAUCAUCUGACCCAAUAUUCAAAAGGGAAGUCAGAUGUUGCUUUUGGUGCUCCAGUCCAAUUAGGUAAUCACCAACCGGUAAGGCAAGAGGUUCUAUAUUUCCUAAGACUUGUUCAACAAUGUCCCCAAUAAACAUAUGCUCAGGCGUAUCCCUGUCCAAUAUGAGAAAAGAGGUCAUUCAAGUGCAUAUAUUAUGCUUAAUUGUGUUUUUCAUCCUUCAUAUAUCGCAACUGUGCAAUUUUAGUCCCUAUUAUUUUAGGUCUUUUGCCCCGUUAUGUUUUUCUCAUGGUUUCGUAGUCUCCCUCCCAAAAGUAACACUGAUGUGUCUUCAUUUAUUGAUGUAACAUUCAACAUAAGGGGCGAAUUGCUCAAAUCGCUCAAACCUACAUCUAUUUAUAUAACUAAAAUUGUGCUAUGCUUUGUUUGUCGUUUGAGGUUUUUGGAAAAUGAAUUAAGAAAUAUAAUUAACGUAGAUUAUUUAAUAAAAAAACAUUGUUUAACUUUUUUUUUUUUUGGUAGUACACAUUGUUUAGCUUCUUAUUCUUUUUACUACGAUAUCAUAUGAAUUAAGCUUCAAAAGAAAAAUACGUAGUAAAGAAAGACAUAAAUACUGGUAAAAAAAUAUAAUAGGGAAAUGCUAACAUGUGCUCAUGUGCCUUAAGAGCACAUGUUAAGGUACUACUAAUGAAAAAUAUGUAAUUGAAAAAUUGUGCAAAUUUAUUUCUUAAGCAUUUGAUAAUUAGUUUUUUACAAUAAAUACUUACUACUUGUGGAAACUUUAUCAUGUGUUCUAAGAGCAUAAGUUAGCAUGACUCAAUAUAAUAAGAAUUAAGUUUUGGUCUGUUGGGUUAAAAUAUUAGUUAUUGUGUCCCUCUAUUCUCUUUCCAUUUGUUUUUUCAAUAUCACCUAUUUUUUCAAUAUAACCUAAUUACUUAUCUGAGAGUUUAUUGUUAUCAAUUCAAGUGACUAUUUCAGUGGACAAAUGAAAUGGAAACAAAAGAAAUAUAGAAAUAUACCCUUUGUAAUGAAAGCCGGACAAGUCAGUAACUUGGUGAAGAGACACCUUCCAUUUAUCCAGAUUGGAGUUGGCCUUAUGUUUAUCCAUUCCUUCUCCAAAACUUCUUUUCAGCUUUCGUACAUCAGAAGGAUCAACCUUAUAAAAAACCGGAAAAACGGAACGACCCACCAUAUCUUUCAUCGUAUCAAGGAUCUUAGAAAGUUCUUGUAAGCAAAAGGAUGAAGAAGCAUAAUUUUCAGAGAGGACAACGAUGGCCAUCAUGGACUGUUCAAUUGCUUUAAGAAGUGAUGGUGUGAUUUCUUCACCUUUUCGUAGCUCCUUAUCAUCCAUGAAAGUUCGAACUCCUUUGUCAUCAAGAGCUUUCUUGAGAUAGCCAGUGAAACCAUGGCGAGUAUCUUCGCCUCUGAAGCUGAGGAAAACAUCGUACUUGAAUUGAUCUGCGAGGGAUGCCAUGAUGAGUGAACGAAUGUGAAUUGCAGAGUGUUAAUUGUAAAGUAUACAGAUUCAAAACAAAGUGAGAGAUAUAGACAUGAUUUUGAGUAGUGAUUAAUAUCCAAAAAAUAAAAAAUGAAACUGCUGGAACGCGCUUGUCAAUAGGGAGCAAUUUCGCGGAAUUUAACAUGUUAAAACAUUUUUUUAUUGAGAAAGGAUAUCUAUUUUCUCAUACAUCACGAAAUUGAAUCAAUCAUCUACUCUACUAAAAAACCAUAUUUUUAUACGUGAUUAACCAGAUGUCAUGUGGAUGUUAAUGUAUCAUUAUUGUUUCUAAAAAUUACAUGAAUUUGUGGUUUUGUUCGGUCUCUUGCUAUCUGUUUUAUCUUAUCAAGUCAUGAUCAGUUUCUAAAUCAACCAAGAUAAAAAAAAUAUAGAAACAAUGACAAUAAAUUAUUUUGCAAGUAACAUCACUGACGCUGCUAAAUAAAUUAUCACUAAUUAUAAUACACCGUUUCAAACCAAACGAUUUCUUACUACACACGUUAUUGAAAAAAUCAAACAUAUAUUAUAAUAAGUUGGUAUUAUUUUUUUUUUUUUGGUUACAGUUUAAUAUAUCCACUACAUCAUUAGAUAUUAAAAAAAUUGUGUUGAGUUUGUUUGUAUUUAGAUUUUUUCUGAAAUUAUAAUAAUACAAUGUACCUAACACAUUGGACGGGAACUAAAUUAGUCAAGUCCAUAUUUUUAUUUUAUGGGAAGAGGAAAAAGACAUGGGAUUGGGGUUGCCAAUUUCGUUGUAAAUUUCCUCCAUGCAUGUGAUUAUUUCAAUUUAUUAAAAUGGAAUUUAUUCUAUUGUUCUGUUAUUAUGUUAUCACUAUUCCUCAAAAAAAAUUGUUAUCAACUAUAUUAUUUUUCAUCCCAAUUAUUGUUACAAUUUCAAUUUUUAAUCAAUAUCAUAAUAAAAAGAACCUCAAAAAGUAGCUAUCUCACUAACUAUCAAUUUUGGUCGGGCUUUUCUGUACAAUGUUGCCUAUACCAACACAUUUGUUUUAAAUCAAUAUCAAAUUGGUACGAAACGGAGGGGAAACAUAUUUAUGGUAUGAUAGUUGGAUUGAUGGUGGUUCAUUAGCUUCAAGAUUUAAUCGGCUUUUAUCAAUUUCAAAUUUUGCAAUGCAAUGUGGAGGACAUGGUGGAGUGGAUUUAGGGGCAGUGGGCAGGGUCAUGGAGGAGGGAAUUAUUUCAGUGAGAGAUGAACAUGUUCACUGAAUCAAGGUGUUAAGGAUAGAUAGAUAUGGAAGCAUUACAAUGGAGGAACUUAUUCUGCAAGUUAUGUUUAUUCAGUAAUUAUACAUGACGGCCUUCUUUGUAGAGAUUAUUUCUUUUCAAAAUUUGGAACAAGUUGGUCCCGUUGAAGGUGUCAUGUCUUGGUUUAAAAAAUGCCAACGAAGGAAAACCUUGUUGAUCGAAGAUUGUUGCCUCUUAUCAAAGAGGAGGUGUGAAGUGGAGGCAGCUACCCUUUUUUUCUUUGAAUGCCCCGGGUUUCCGCAAGUCUGAUGGUUAGGUCUUCAUUUGUUGAAAUUUACGUCAGUUAUGCAUAAAACCCGACUAAAAUUGGUAGUUUCUCUAUGAGUUCUUUUAUAGUAUAGGUUGAAACAGUAGAACAGAAUAUGGAGUGAAUCCCAAGAUAUCCUUGGUUAAAUUCCUAACCACUGGUGUGUGUGUGGUUAUUGUAUAACAGGUAAGUGGGUAUGCAAUAGUUGUAAAAAUAUGCAUGGUAAAGAAAAUAAACAAAAAAGAAAACCUGCACCCUUAAAAAUUAGAAUCAUGUGUUCAUAGACAGAAGAGCUUUCACUUUAUAACAAUGCAUCCAUCGAAAAGCCACAUUAACAAAAUUGUAACUAUCAACUGGACUUUGAUAACAAUCAACUAGAAAACAUGUAAUACUUUGAUAACUAGAAUCAUAACAUAAUUGUUAUAAAGUGAAAAAACUUAAUUGUUCGUAAUCAUCUUUUGAAAGAGCUCUGUAGUAAUUGGAGUGAUUUUGGAAAAAUGAAAUAAAGUGAACCACAUUAAUCAUACCCUGCAAUGUCUUAUGUCCCAUUGUACUUUUUGCAGCGGUAUUUGAGACGCUACAGCUUGGCGCUUCAGCCUUGCCGUGCAUAUAAUGAGGGACCAAAGCAAUUCACCAUAGCUCUGUGUAUGGUGUUCUGAUCCCUCUCGGAAUCUCUGUUUACUUUUCUUACAAUCACUUUUGUGCCAGCCAAGAUAUUCAGUAUAUUUGUAACCAAAACAAUGAGCGCAAAGCAACCAAACAAUUCCCUUGCUAUGCACAACAUUACCAACAAUCAUUUGCAACAUAUCAAUUAACGUUCAUUAUCUCAUUCAACAAAAACCCUUCACUCAUCUCCUUCGUUCGCUUCGUUGAGAAGCCUUCAUCGAAUCAAGUCCAAAUCCAACGCAUUCUUAACGCUGCAAAUGUACAGGUUUCAUAAACUAUAAGAAUAAGAAUAUAUGGAAAAUUAAUAAAUUACUACUUUUAAGUAAAUGACAGGAUUUGGCUUGCAAGAACACUAACUAAUGUCAUCAAAAGGACUGCUAUUCUAUCAAACUGCUAUGUUCUGCUAUUCCAUUAUAUAAAUUUAGAAUUCUAUGUUUUUUGUAGUCCAAAGAAGGAUCGAAUUUCAUGUUAAGCCUGACUCAAAUUUCCACAUCCCUAAACAUGUCUGAUACUUUAAAAAGUAAGAAAUCCAGCAGUACAUAGUGUCUCCAGAAGAAACAACCUUCUUGGAAAGCCAGUCUGGCACAAUCUUUUCCAAAAUCUCAAUCUGUUCUUCAGCUUCUCCUAUUGGGCGGAAUAAGAUUAGUUAGCUAGAUUUUUUAUUACUAAGAAAUCGUGUACAUUAUAAUAAAAUAUAAUUAGAACAUACCAAAUAUAGAGUUAAUCACACCAAUAAUGAAAGAUUGUUAUCCGAUUCAUCCAAACCAGUCUGAUCUACGUUGGUUUCCUCAAAGGAGUGUGACCAAGGCUUUCCUUCUGCCUGCAUUGAGAAACAAACCAAUUAGCAGGAAGGCAACUACUUAAAUGAGAGAAUAAAUUGCUUUUAGAAUAAAAUUGCUUUUGAAAGGUACAAAAUAAAAUAAUAAGUGAAUAUCAAAUUAUGAUUCUAAGAAUAAGUCUAAAAUUAAAACCGAAACAAUAUGGCAGGCAUACCUCAUAAGGUAAGGAAACAGAAUCAAAAGAUUUGCAGUCCUAAAAACAUCCUCAGCUAGGUUUAGAUAUGUCUGCUCUAUUGUCCAAAUCAUCGCUGCCUUCUGUGAGUAUAAAGUGGAGCACUCUUUUUGCAGGCUUAAAACAUGAUGUAGAUUUUUGCACAAUCAUUUUCUGAAGGUUAACAUAAGUAAGUACUGAUCAACAACUGACUGCACAGGUGUGUGUGUCAACAAACUAUCAGUAAAAGAGACAAUUUUCAAAUCAGGGCUUUCCAAACUAUUGCGGCUACAGAAUGUGGAGGUGAGAUAUAAUGCACUGGUGUAUUAAUAUCUUUUGGUUGAAAAAACACAUUGAUAAUGAUUCCUUCUGGUCGCCUCUUUCUGCAUUAAGAUUACUCACAAAAUCAAACAACAGUGUGAAGGUGAGGAAAAACACAAGAAGGGGGAGGGGGGGGGGGGAGAGAAAGAGAGACACAAGCAAUUAUCCUGGUUCCUUCCACAAAUCGGAAGUAGUCCAGUCCUCCUUGCACUUCCAAGGAGAUUUCACUAAUAAUCACAAAGAUUACAAAUGCUCAAUACUCUCUAAGUAUGAGACUUCUCAAAAUGCUCAAGCACGCAGGCGAGAGUCUUCCAAUGCUCAAGCACUAAAGCAAGAGUCUUCUAAUGCUCAAGCACGCAGGCGAGAGGCUUCUAUUCAAACAAAAAUACAAAGAAAAUGUUUGAAUUGAACACUUGAUAUACAAUCAGUGGUGUUCACAAUACAAUGCAAUAAAGACUCUAGACUUAUGAAUUUCUAAGAUGUAUCAAAUCAGUGCAGAAAUUCAAUGUACUUUGUAGAAUCAAAUUUGGCAGAGUUUUGGCGCUUUUAACUUGUGUUGAUGUCUCUUGCCAAUCUUCAAGUCUUCACUCCUUUAUAUAGAGGUGUGAAAGAGACGUUGAGAUUUUUAGUACGUCUAAGAGUCGUUGAGUUCCUUUGAUCAUCCACCAGUAAUCUUUUGCCUGAUUUGGGUGUAGUCCUUUGAAGAAUCAACUUCAAAUUCAUUCCCAUCUUGAAGGAACAAUUCUGCAGGCAGAGCUGUUGUCUUGUCUGAUAGCGUAGACAAAAACAGAGUAGUGGAGGUAGUGGUUGUACACUUGUACUUUGUCAACUCUGUUAACGAAGGACAAGUACCCAGUGUUCUUCAAAUGACCGUUGAUACCUCCCUUUCAAUUCUUCGUUCUUCUAGACGAUGUUGAAACGAAAAACAGCUCUUUUGAAUCUUCAGUUUAAAUUUACUAAUCACUUGUAGCUUCUGGUGAUGGUAUAGCUUCUGAUGAAACCUUGCUUCUGAUGGUCUUCUGCUUCUGAUGAACUUUCUGCUUCUGAUGACGUCAUCUUCAGAGGCACUUGUUACUUCAGAAGCACUUCUUAGCUUCAGACGCAGUUUUCUUCAGAUGCUUUGGAUUCCUUUGCUCUCCAUUGUUCUUCCAAGACCUAUUGAAAUUGAAUGACUUUGCCUAUGGUCCUGUACACUUGAACAAUUGUUAGCAAUAACCAAUUGACAAUUUUUAAUAUGUUGUUAUCAUCAAAAUUCAUUAAGGUUUAUUGUGAAACACAUUUUGUUCCAACACAGUGUACAUUCUUUCUACCGUGUGCUUCACUUUCUUGGUUUUCUAGGAAGUUUUCAGAUGUUGAAAAGCACUGAAUUUGCUCAGUCUGGUUAGCAACAUUCUUGAGAAAACUGUCUUUUGGAAGAUGAACUCAAAUGUAAGUUGUUCAGCAACGGUUCAAUUCAUUGGAAGUUAAUGAAAGUUCUGUUGACAAGUUAAAGGGCUCUGGUAGCAUGACCUGUGGAAGAUCAGUAACCUUAUCAACAAUGAAAAGCAAAAAAUAAAAUUAAAGUAAUGAAAUCAGUUCUUUUGCAUAAGUGAGAAUUUCAAAUUUCUCCGCUUAACAAAUAACUACAAAAAGAAAUAUAGCGGAGUCAGACCCAGGAAAAUCAGUUACAAAAAUGUAAGCUUAUCCAGUAACCACAAAAUCUCAUAUGCUUUGUCUAAUGUAAGAAAGCCAAUAAAAUUUGUGCACCAAUAAUAUUUUCAACAACCAUUCCUUCUCUAAUUUUACCAUUCUUCCACUUUAUUUUUUUGACACCCAGGACAAAUACUAUGGCAUGUUUGGAUUUCAUAGGCUUUUUUAAACUUAUUUUUAGUUAUAUCAAAUCAACAAGGGAUAGAGUUAGAUCUCUGUUUAAUAAGCACAAUCAACAAGAAACAUUGUACAUAGUAAUAAAAUCAGCAUGGUUUUGGUUUGUUUUCCCAAAAGAGUUAUCAAAGCUUUUGCCAUUGUAGAAACUCAUAUCGUAACAACCAUUAUCUUUUGAAUGAGCUCUAGUGGUAGGAGGACUUUUAACUAUUAUCAAAACUACGAAAAAAAAUCAAUAUUUCUGUGAACAUAUGCCAACUUGUCAUUACAAAAUGGAUAGUUUAUGGCAAUUUGGGUCAAAUGAAAGAUAUACUUACUUAAUCCCAAGUGAACAGUGUUAGCAUCAUUCUCUGGGUUGGUGAAUCGAAUAUCUUUCAUGCUACUUUUCUCUUUCAAUACAUGGAUUCCACUAAACAUGAAUGGGAAUCCAAAGUCAACCUCUGCAUGGUUCCAUUUAUUUUCUAAAAGUGCCUUGUCCAUAUUAUCAUUGAAGUAUUCCAUUUGCAUAUGAAAAAGAUGCAAAUGAUACAUGUCCGGCUGAGUUCCCAUAACACGCUGCCACCCAUGUGUAUAGAAAAAUGUAUUUCCGUUGAUGAUCACUCUUACAAGGUGUUCAGAAGAAUUACCCCAUGUAAGUGGAGAAACAACACAGAGAGCUAUGGCAGGAAACUUGCCACAAAACCAGAAAGAAAUUGACUUUCCUGCCUCGCAUUGGUGGUCGAACCACUCUGGAAUCUUUGCACGUGGCAAACGAAACCGAGUAUUUCCAGCCUCAUGUAAUUUCUAUUAGUCAUAAAUAAUUAAUGUUAAGUUUAACUAUAUCAAGAAAAAUAUAAAAUACAUUACAAAUAAAAACAAAAUAAAUCAUAACCUGAUUUAGUAAUUUGCUUUUGCACGACGAAGUCAAUAUGCAGUUUAGUGCAGAUAACUCUCUUAAGCAUGGAGGAAUCCCUUUCAUUUCCAUAAGUUCCUUACAAUCAUCCAAGACGAUUUUCCAUAAAAAUUGACAUUUUUCAAUAGAUUUAGGAAUAACUGUGAAUUGACAGUUAGUUAUGUGUAGUUCUUUCACAUUAGCAAACAACAUGAGACUUAUUGACAGAUAUUCAUCUGAAAGUUUGCAGUUCCUGACACAAAUAUACUUUACAUGUGAAGAUUGCAUUUGGUUCAUUUUUUCUUCAGCCUUGAUGGUAAGUUCAGCCGAUUCUGACAUCACAACAUCUCUAUUUGGUAAGCGGCCAUAUCCACAGUCACAUGAAACAAAUCUUUGAGGCUGAGUAAGAGUUUGAAAUUGAAAUGGAAAUUCUUUUAUGGGAGUUUCAUCCAAGUGGAGUCUUGGUAUAUUUCUCAUCUCUCCCAAUAUUUCUGGAAAACUCUCAAGCCUAUAACAACAUGAAAGAUUGAAAUGUUCCAACGAAGUCAGGCUGAGCCGUGGGAUAUUCCUAAGCAUGAUGCAGUUUACAAUAUUCAAGAAUUUCAAUUUAUCCAACAACCCAUCCACCACACUUGGAAAGCUCUCGAGCUUAUAACAAUCUGAAAGGUCAAGUUUUUCAAGUGAAUCCAACUUGAGAGCUGGAAUAUUCCUGAGAUUGUGACAAUUUUUAACAAACAGGGUUUUAAGUUUAUUCAACAACCCAUCCACCACGCUUGGAAAGCUCUCGAGCUUAUAACAAUUUGAAAGGACAAGUUUUUCUAGUGAAUCCAACUUGAGAGGUGAAAUACUC
RNAcentral lists this long non-coding RNA (55740 nucleotides) under Medicago truncatula (barrel medic). RNAcentral describes it as "long non-coding RNA (MTRU_LNC004457)". Lineage: Eukaryota; Viridiplantae; Streptophyta; Magnoliopsida; Fabales; Fabaceae. The record is from RNAcentral.